This 58741-nucleotide long non-coding RNA is filed under the name Nicotiana benthamiana. RNAcentral's name for it is "long non-coding RNA (NBEN_LNC020950)". The stretch from base 45578 to 45673 matches the Rfam family "MIR6152 microRNA precursor family". Lineage: Eukaryota; Viridiplantae; Streptophyta; Magnoliopsida; Solanales; Solanaceae. The record is from RNAcentral.
AUUUUUAAAAUAACAUGCCAAAAGCAACUACACGUUGUUAACUUUGCGGGGCCAUGAAAAAUUUGAUAAAUGGCAUUUCUCAAGUUCUAAGAAUUUUAAGAUAAAUAAUUAAAUGAGGACCACGCAUUUAAGAUUUUUAUUUGGCGCGUCGCACCUCAGUUCCGAUUUUAAAAAGGGAAUGUAAACUAAAGUUCGAAAGCCCAUAAACUAUUUGUAUUGUCUAAUAUGACAGAACUCAACUAUUAACAAAAUCUUAAUUGAACAAUUAAAAAGGGAUUAGAGUUUUACUCAAACUGGCAAAAGAGCUAAGAAGGGAAGAGAUUCUAUUAUCUAUUAAAGUGGCUUGGGCCAUCACAGCAAUUAACGAGAAAUUGAAUUCAAAAAAGAUGGGCGAGUCUGUGUAAGUAGAGUACAUAAUCAAAUUUUGCAAAUGCCUUCAUGCCUAGGCCCAAAAGUGAGCCCACUUUUGCUAACCAAGGUGAAGGUCACCUGGCCAACCUUUAUUUCGUUGAUUGGGCCAGUAUUAAGCCCAAAUUUCGAACCAGCCUUCAUGCAGAUUAACUAUUUGCAAUUAAGAAGUUAUAUGAAACAUUAAGCAGAACUGACUCUUUGCUUCUGAAUUUUAACCAUUAGCCAACAUUCUGAACUAUAACCAACGUUUCCAUUUAACAUCUUAAACUCAGCAUCAAAUAAAUCAAUAGUUGCUUUUAACCCAAGAAUAUUGUGAACUAUUCACUUCCCCUUAAACAAGAUUUCAAUCCCCUAUUUAAGGUCGAAUCCUAUCCAACACAAGAACCUUCAAUAGGCUAUUAGCUCACCAUACGUAUCUAACAUUAAAUGCACUGAUAACAAACCAACAGAGAUUUAUGUUUGCAUUUAAUUUCUAAACUAAUCCCCACAAAUAAACAUAGAGAAUAUAAGCUCGCAUAAACCAUCAAAAUGACAAUUCUAACUAAGUAAGAUGUUGCAUAUUUCCAAGCUGCAAAGUGGAACCUCAGAUUAGAAGAACACUACCUUGACAUAAUUAAACAACAGUAAUGUCUAACAAUCCAAUCACAUGCCAGAUUCUAAACCUUAUUACAAUUCCAAAUUUCUAAGUUUAAACAUCUAUCUAAAUAACAGCCUUAAACCAACAUCAAUUCUAACUAUCAAUUUAAACAGCUCCAUUAGCAGUUUCAAUAGAAUAUUACAACCAUUUGAAUCACCAUAUCAAGUUACCACUUCACAUUUUUGUUCAUAAACUCACAAAAUCACCCAACCAACAACAAAUUAUUGCAGAUCAACUAAGUAUAGCACUAAUGUUUCAUUACAUCAGACUGAAAACCUGUGAAAGCUGUAAAUAACAUGCACGGCUCUUAACUAGUACAAAUGUAUUACUAAGAACAGGAAUAAACAAGUCAUCAAGCUCAAAGCAAAUUUUUUAUUUAACUAAGUUUCCACCACAUAAUGCAUGGAAAUAACUGUUUUUCCAUCUGUAGUUUAUGGAAAUAACUGGAGAAUGAAAAGAAACAAAGCAAAGUGAGCAGAGGUCAAGCUGCAGUAGAAAGGUAGCAGAAAUCAGCACCAGCAACACCAGCUCAAACCCAAAAAAUAAACCACUUUCAAAUUAACAAUGACCCAGCAAACUUCAAACCAGACUUUAAUGACUCGAAUUCAAUCCAUUUUUACCCCAAGGAAAAUCAAAACAUUUUCAGUAAUGGAAAACUUCAAAAACCACAGAAAAAAUCUAAUGGAACAAUGUUUUUACUAAACAUUUGACCUGUUUUUCUAGUUUUCAUAAUUUUUUCUUUUUUUUUUUGUGGUCUCUGAAAUCUUUUCAUAAAUCUCUCAAAACCUGCUCUAAAAUCUUUUCCAGAAAAAUCUCUAAAAUCCUCCUCCAAAAUCUAAAUUCAACUUCAAUUAGCAAUGCCUUUAUAGACAAGCUAUUAGGGCAGUCUUGAGGGUUAAAAGUUUACCUAUUGCCCCUUUUCCAAUUAUCAUUUUGCUACUUAAUCCCUAAAUUUUUGACUUGCUUGCAAAGUAAGGCUAUUUUUCAGCUUUUAUGAAGCUACAUACGCAGUUACCCAAAGAUUCCCUAAGUUAGACUACCCAAAUAACCCCUUAACGACCCUCAAAUUACCUCGCAAUAGACCAACUUAGGUCAAAUUGACCCAAGGCAGACCAGACAUGAGCCUUUAACAAAACCUGGAUUAAUCCAUUUCUUCGGGCUUUCAAACAAAGUCUGGGUUUCAAAACCCAAAAUCAAACAAACUUGAAAGAAUUUAGCACAAACCUUCAAAAAACGAACAAAAGCACUUUGAAAUAAAAAAAGGACUUCAUAACUAAAUAGCCCCCUUUACAUCAAAACUAAAAGAAAAUCAAACAAACUAAAACCACAUUAAAGGAAAUACGAAUUAACAAUUAGCAUGGAUUAAAGGGACACAUGCAGAAGUGAGUUUGAUAAAACAGAUGAAGAAAAGAUGAACGGAAACAACAAAGAAUAAAAAAUGAAAUAAAAAAUGACCAAAACAAAUCAUGCAAGACCAAACAAUGAACCGGAAUACCUAGCAAGGAUGGCCAACCUUGAAGUUCUUCCUCAAUCUCUCAAUUUUGACCAAAAGGGGUCUCAAUCAUAUGUUCUUAGAUGAAAACACAUUACCAAAGUCCAUUUUGGUCCUAAUCGUCACCAAAUCUGCCGAUUUUAAAGUUUAACAUUUUAGGUCUCAACUUCGACUUUAGAUUUGACAAGAUCGGGGCACAUUCGAGGAAAAAGAGUAAUAGAUUUAAGACGAGUGAGGCUUGACGGUCCUAUGAUGUUAGUUUGGGGUCGAAAGAAAGAGAAACUUUAUGGCCCAAAACUUCCCUUCUUCAAUCCUAAAGGCUUUUAAAAGGAGAAGAAAAGAGGAGACAGGAAAAUGAAAUAAUGUGGUCCAAGUUUCAAAUCUAAACAAAUGAGUUACAUUUGGACUAAGAGAAAGGGUUGUCUUGAGUGUUCAAGAGUGUUAUCUAAAUAUUAAUUUCGAUGGUCAUUCAACUUUUAAUUUAUAGCAUUAAAAUAAAUAAAAUGAAAUAAAAAUUUGUAUAAAAACGUCAAUCAACUUUGUCAAAUAGCACUAAAAAACUAUUUUCGUUUUCGACUUUAGUGCAAUAUUGGUAAGUGUUAGGCUAAGCUUUUCAAAUUCUAGAAGUAUUUUUUUGUUUCAAAAAAGUGAUUUUUUUUUCAAAGUUAAAGUGUUUAGCCAAAUUUUUGGAAGAAGAAAAAUGUUUUUAAGGAGAAGCAGAAGCAGUUUCAAAGAAGCAAAAAAAUAAUAAUUUUUCUCGAAGCAUACUUUUUUAAAAAGCACUUUUGGAAAAGAAAAACUUAUGCAUGUUUGGCCAAGCUUUUUUGUGUCAAAAGUGCUUUUUUGGCUAAAAAUACUUUUGUCUAAAAAUUGAGGUGUUUGGCCAAGUUUUUAGAGGGAAAAAGUGCUUUUGAGGAGAAGCGGAAGCAGAAGCAGUUUUUGAAAAGCAGAAAAAUGUAGCUUAUAUCCAAAAGCACUUUUCAGAGAAACAUUUUUGAGAAAAAUACAUUUAAAAACAGUUUUCAGAAGAUUGGCCAAACACGGAUUACUGCUUAAAAGUACUUUUCAAAUUAAUUAGCCGAACACAAGUCGAUUCUCAAAUAAAAAUAUUUUUUUGAAAAAUAUUUUUGGAAAAAGCACUUCUCAAAAUAAGCAAAUUUUAGAAGUUUGGCCAAACAGGCUAUUCGAAAUAGUUUACAAAAGUUUGAACAAACACUAAUUACUUUUCAAAAAUAUUUUUUAAAUUAAUUAGCUAAACACAAAUUAAUUCUUACCAAAAAUACUUUUGAAAAAAAAAUUUUUAAGAAAAAAUACUUGUCAAAAUAAGUUGAUUUUUUAUGCGUGAGUUAUAGCCUUUAGUUAGGUGAUUGUUUGGAUCACUUAUAGUGAUGGUUAGGGUAAGCCUACAUUACUUCGCUUCCCUAUGUGCGUGUUAAAGUUUUGUAUAUCUAUAAAUUUCCAAGAAAUGGAAAAUUGAGAAAUGUUGUAAUAAGAACCUAUUGAUGUAAUAAAUAAUUUUGGCACACAAUACGUGUUAGGAAGACAUACCCCAACCCAAAUAAUAUUGCACGUGAUGCAAUUAAGAGUUCAUACAAAACUACUUCGCAUUCGUCUGAACUCCAUAAUAGCUUAGUAGUACGAAAAUUUGUGAAUUUUUAAAUAAAUUUUUAAAAUUGCAUUGUGAAAGAGCAUGUAUAAGUAGUUGUAUACUUACCAUAAUCAAUUCCCUCAUAUACUUUCACAAUUCGUAUCAUAACUCGAGCCAAUGCUCCUCGAAGUUCAAAGAUCAUAAUUUCUUUCACAUGUUUUUUAGAACAUAUCAAAAUCUACAUUUCGGCAUGAAAGGUACAACAAAAUAAGAAUAUUCGCGAUAUAAAGACUCACAGUCAUGCUAGACACUAACGUAUAGAUACUAGUCACCAUGCCUAUAUGUCGUAUCCGACAAUUAGCAAUAACAAUUAAGAAUCAAAUCAUAUUCCCUUAAGCUAAGGUUAGACCAAACACAUACCUCAUACUUCCACGUCCAAUUCAAUCCUCAACAAGCACCUUUCCUCUCGAAUUCGGCUCCAAAUAAAUCAAAUCUAUACAUAAACGACUUCAUAACGUCAAUACAUGCUAAACAAAUUGAAUCCAACGCCUAAUAAUAGCUUUCCAAGCAUUCUUCCCAAAAACACAAAGAUCGACCCCUAGGCCUGCUUGGUCAAAUUACAAGGUUUGAACCAAAAUCAAAUCCCCCAUUCACUCAUGAUCUCGAAUAAAUAAUUUGUUUUCAAAUUCGACCCCAAAACGAGGUCUAAAUCAAGAAAAAUUAAAAAAACUCUAACUCUACUCAAAUCCCGAGUUUCUGCCCUUAAUUACAUGUUUUAGGCUUAGGAAUUAUUAGAUGUUGAACAAGCUGGAAGGAAACAAGCAAGGAUUACUAACCCAAGAAGUCUUUGGUGAAGGAUAGUUUCAAUGGAUGCCUAAGGACCUUGGAGAAGAAGGAGUUUGUGAAUGUUUAUGAAAAUCCCGCAAUAAUAUUGUUCUGUAAAUUAAAAAUAUAACUAGGCGAAAUUUCCCUUCGCGUUCGUGAUAGGCUGGUCGCGCUCGCGAAGGGUAGCAUUUAACAGACCAUCGCGUUCGCGAGAUGAAGAAUGCGAACACGGAGAGUAAAAGGCCUGGGGUCCAGAAAUUGACCGACGCGAAUGCGUGGGCCCUCACGCGAACACGAUGCAUGAGUCCUGCAAGCCUACAUGAUCGCGAGCGUAUUAAUGCGAAUACGAAGAGGAAAAGAAUGAAACCACUCUAAAACACCUCCGAUACACUCUCGAGCCCUCGGGGCUCCAAACCAAACACGUGCACUAACUCAACAACAUCCCACAAACUUAACCGUGUGAUCAAAUCGCCAAAUAACAUCAAAAUCAAUGAAUCAAACCUCAAAAUCAAGAGUUUUUCUUCAAACUUCAUUAAGUUUCAAAAUCAGAACUUUAAGCCUGAAACAUGUCAAACGACGUCCGAUUUUAACCAAACUUUACAGAAAUAUCUUAAAUCACAUAUAAGACCUAUGUUGGGUGCCAGAAUAGAAAUACGAGCCAGAUACCAACACGUUCUAAUCAAUUUUCAUUUCAAUUUUCCUUAACAAUUUCAGAAAAACAACUUCCUUUAAAAAUUUAUUUCUCGGGCUCAGGACCUUGGAAUUCGAUUCUGGGCAUACGCCCGAGUCUCAUAUUUUCCUACGGUCUCUCUGGGACUGUCCAAUCAUGGGUCCAGGUCCAUUUUCCCAAAAUGUUGACCGAAGUCAAAUUUAAUUCAUUAACAUCAAAAUUUAGCAUUUUUAACAAAAUUUCACAUUUAAGCUUUCCGGCUAUGCGCUCGGACUGUGCAAGAAAAUCGAGGCAACUCUAAUUAAAGUUUUGAGGCCUCGAAAGCACAUAAUGGAUAAAAAAAUAGGUGAUGACCCUUUGGGUCGUCACAUUCUCCACCUCUAAAACAACAGUUCGUCCUCGAGCGGACAGAAGAACGAAGUACCUUAGUUGGGGAACAGAUGAGGGUAACGGAUCCUCAUAACAGACUCGGACUCCCAGGUUGAUGCCUCUGGAGGCUAACCUCUCCACUGAACACGAACAGAAGAGAAACUCUUGGAUCUCAACUGGCAAACCUGUCGGUCUAGAAUAGCCACCGACUCCUCCUUAUAAGACAAGUCCUUAUCCAAAUGGACAGUGUCGAAAAAUGACAUGUGGGUUGGAUCGUCGCGAUACCUCCGAAGCGUGGACACGUGAAACACUAGAUGUACGGCUGAUAAGCUCGGUGGAAAAGCAAGUCUAUAAGCCACCUCUCCCAUUCGAUCAAGAAUCUCAACGGACCAAGGAACCUGGGGCUAAGCUUGCCCUUGUUCCCAAAUCUUAUCACGCCUUUCAUAGGCAACACUCGGAGCAGUACCCGCUCACCAACCAUGAAAGCCACAUCUCGAACCUUGCAGUCUACAUAGCUCUUUUACCUGAACUGAGUUGAACAAAGCCUAUCCUUAAUGAUCCUGACCUUGUCCAAGGCCUCCUUAACCAAAUCCGUACCCAACAACCGAGCCUCUCCUUGCUCAAACCAUCCAACCGGAGACCAAUAUCUCCUACCAUAUAAAGCCUCAUAAGGAGCCAUCUGGAUGCUCGACUGGUAGCUGUUGUUGUAGGCAAACUCCGCAAACGGUAAGAAUUGAUCCCACGAACCUCCAAAGACAUUAACACAAGCUCGGAGCAUAUACUCUAAAAUAUGGAUAGUCCGCUCGGACUAACAAUCUGUUUGGGGUGAAAUGUUGUGCUCAACUCAACCGUGUGCCCAACUCUCGCUGAACUGCUCUCCAGAAGCGCGAGGUAAACUACGUACUAUGAAAAAAAAUGAUAGACACGGUCGCACCAUAAAGGUGAACAAUCUCCCGAAUAUAGAUCUCAGCAAACCUCUCAGAAGAAUAGGAGACUGCCACAAAAAUUAAAUGUGCUGACUUGGUCAGCCUAUCAACAAUGACCCAUAUCGCAUCGAACUUCUUCCGAGUCAGCGGAAGUCCAGUAAUAAAGUCCAUAGUGAUCCGCUCACACUACUACUCGGGAAGCUCAAUCCUCUGAAAUAAACCACCAGGCCUCUGAUGCUCGUACAUAACCUGCUGAUAGUUCAAACAACGAGCCACAUAUACUACAACCUCUUCAUUCUACGCUACCAAUAAUGCUUCCGCAAAUCCUAUACAUCUUCGCCGCAUCCGGAUGAAUAGAGUACCGAGAACUAUGGACCUCAUCCAAAAUAAACUUUUGGAGGCCAUCCACAUUAGACACAUAUACUCGACCCUGUAAUCUCAAAACUCCCUCACCAUCCAAGGUAACAUGUCGUUUCUUUAUGGACACACAAAUGGGGAUCAUCAUACUGGCAAUCGUGGAUACACUCCAAUAAUGAGGAGCGAGCGAUCGUGCAAGCUAACAUACGACUGGGCUCAAAAACAUCACGAACUGAUUGGCUAAGGCCUGAAUAUCCAAAGUAGGUGGCCUCUCACCGACUGGAAUAUAAGAAAGACUGCCCAUACUGCCUGACUUCCCACUCAAUACGUCGGCCACCACAUCGGCCUUCCCCGGGUGAUAUAAGAUACUGAUGUCAUAAUCAUUCAGCAAUUCCAACCACCUUCUCUGCCUCAAAUUCAACUCCUUUUGCUUGUACAAGUACUGGAGACUCUUGUGAUCAGUAAAUACCUCACAUGCCACACCAUACAAAAUAAUGCCUCCAAAUCUUCAGUGCGUGAACUAUGGCUGCCAACUCCAAAUCAUGAACAUGAUAGUUUUUCUCAUGAAUCUUUAACUGCCUCGAAGCAUAUGCAAUAACUUUGCCAUCAUGCAUAAAGACUGCUCCAAUCCUGACACGCGAAGCAUAACAAUAGACUGUAUAAGGCCCUGAACUCGUGGGCAAAACCAACAUCGGUGUUGUAGUCAGAGCUUUCUUGAGCUUUUGAAAGUUUGCCUCACACUCAUCCGACCACCUGAACUGGGCACCCUCCUGGGUCAAUCUGGUCAUCGGGGCUGCAAUAGAUAAAAACCCCUCCACGAACCAAUGAUAUUAACCUACCAAUCCCAAGAAACUCUGAAUCUCUGUAGCUGAUGCUGGUCUAGGCCAGUUCUUGACGGCCCAAAUCUUCUUUGGAUCAACCUGAAUAUCCUCUGCUGAUACGACAUGACCCAGGAAUGCAACUGAACUCAGCCAGAACUCACACUUCAAAAAUUUAGCGUAUAACUGACUAUCCCAAAGGGAACUCACAUACAACAGGCACAUAAUCAGUAGAAGGAACCUCAGCACUAGAAUCACGAACAUAUGCCAAUUAGGCCCAACACCCCUUCUCNNNNNNNNNNNNNNNNNNNNNNNNNNNNNNNNNNNNNNNNNNNNNNNNNNNNNNNNNNNNNNNNNNNNNNNNNNNNNNNNNNNNNNNNNNNNNNNNNNNNNNNNNNNNNNNNNNNNNNNNNNNNNNNNNNNNNNNNNNNNNNNNNNNNNNNNNNNNNNNNNNNNNNNNNNNNNNNNNNNNNNNNNNNNNNNNNNNNNNNNNNNNNNNNNNNNNNNNNNNNNNNNNNNNNNNNNNNNNNNNNNNNNNNNNNNNNNNNNNNNNNNNNNAUGAUUAUGACAUCAGUAUCUUAUAUCACCCCUUCUCGACCAUAUGUCAAGCCUUCACAUACGAGAUAACACUGCAGGUAGAACGACCUGGAGUCCCUGUCCAGUCUAAGCAAAGCAUACCCGAUAAAGCUAAGGCCACAAUCUUGUCAUAACAAUCCAAGAUAACGCGAUAAGGUGAUAAUCGAUCCAUCCCCAAUAUAAUGUCGGAAUCAACCAUGUCCAAAAGAAGCAAAUCUACAUGAGUCCCAAGACCUCCAGUAUCCACUAUACAUGAUCAAUGAAAAUGAUCCACCACAAUAGAAUCACCCACCAGCGUAGACAGGGAAACUCAAAGAAUCACUAUGCAUGACCAGAUAUGGCGCAAGAUAAAACUGAAACUUCUCUACCAUAACCCAAAACAGUACCUACACCUCCACCUCUAAUACAUUUACCUCCACCUCUAGCAUCUCCACCUCCACCUCUAAUACCUCUACCUCCACCUCUAUCUGACUGAGCGAGCUGGAUGAAUCCCUCAAUAAACCUUGUCACUCUUUACCACAGUGGGAAGUAUGAUAAGAGCAUGACGAGCCAAGACAAUAUAUCUGAUCUCAUACGGAGUACCGGUCAUAGAGUCUUGCUGGGGAAACUACCUCCGAUAAACCUCCCUCUAAUUAAUGGGAAGAAACUUCUCCAGAAAUAGCUGCGCGAACUAUCCUCUAGUCAAAACUGACAAUCCGGCUAGUCUAGCUAAGCAAUAAUUCCUCCACCAAGUCUUGGCGGAUCCAGACGAGCAAAAUGUGACAAAAUCGACCCCAUUGGUCUCCACGAACCCCAUGUCCCUGAGAACGUCAUAACAGUCAUCUAGAAAAUCUUGGGGAUCCUUAAAAGAUGCACCACAGGAAAUAGUACUAAAAAGCUUGGUGGCACCUAUCCAACCUCCGCAAGCCUCCAAAGACAUAGACGAUCUAUCACCAAUCUAUGCUAUUACUCGGCUGAAGAAGCAGUACAUGACCUUACCAUUCGUGAUAGAACAGAGUAUAAAUCCAAUUAGUAUUGAGAAACAAAACCACACGACAAGAAAGAAUAACAUGGAAUUUCCUAACGUUGUAGCCUCUAUGGGAUAAACACAGACGUCCCCGUACCGAUUCCUCAUAAUCUACUAAGAUUUUCCAUGAACUGUGAGACCUAUGUAACAAGAGCUCUGAUCGCAUCUUGUCACGAUCCGGAGUUCCCAUCUUCGGGAGUCAUAAUGGCGCCUACUAAGGUGAGCUAGACAAACCAAUCAUUUGAAUAAUUUAACUUUCGACCUAUUUGAUAUUCUUUAUCAAUUAUGAAGAAAUAACAUUUAAACAGUGGAAUUUAACAUAAGUGGAAGAAGAACAAUAAUUAUCUGAACAUAAACAACUAAACAACUAUUUGAGUCCCGACUAUCCAGACCUGGUGUCACAGUUUCACAGAUGGUCUAAGAAAUCUACAAAUAAAGGUCCAAAAGAAUUAAAUACAAUACUAUCUCUAGAAAUACAUGUAAGAAACAGGAGAGUAGAUAGAAAGAGAUAUCAGGGCAUGCGAACACCUGAGGGCUACCUCGGGUCGUGUGAUGAGGAAGAUCCAGCAAUCUCACUGCGGUCUGAAAUCUACAGCACUAGGGUCUGCACAAAAAAGUGCAGAGUAUAGUAUCAACACAAUCGACACCAUGUGUUGGUAAGUGUCCAGCCUAACCUCAGCGAAGUAGUGACGAGGCUAGGACCAAACUCCAGAUAAACUUGGGCAGUUAUAUAAUAUAUGUCGGAAAUGUAAACAGGUAGUAAGCAAUUAGAGUUGGGGAAGGGAAACACGCUGCGGGGGUGGCAGAUAAUUAGAAUAUCAAAGAACAAUAAGGAAACAGUAAAUUUAACUUCUAACACAGAUAAGGAGAAAUAAAGGCAACUUUCACUUUCAAUUUCAUUUUUUUACAGGCGUGCUACCCGAUCCCAUUUCUCAUAUCUCGUGGUAGGCGUACCACCCGCUCCCACUUUCAUAUACUAAUAGUUCUUGCAAAUGAAAUUACUCCAACAACCACAAUAAUUAAUGCAAAUUUGUAAGACAACAAAGUGCACAAUAAUUACGAUUCACUAAGGAAAACAAAUAAUGACAAGUAGCAAUUAAUUAUGGCCUUUAAGGAGCAAACAGGCAAUUUAAUAUUUAGUAUGCUAAAUGGCAAGUUGAAAUUAAGUCACAUAAACACAUAGCAAUUAUAGCAUGAAUUCAACAAUAACUAGUGACACGAUAAAGGAAAAUGCCAACAUAAAGAAUCACAAUAAUUGUGGAAUACGACAAUUAAUGCACUCAAACUGAUAAUAAAUAAUCAUAACAAACAGCAGUAAGUGCACGGCAUCACCCUUCAUGAUUUAACACUCUCUCACCAAAAUAAUACAUGGAAUCACCCUUCGUGCUUUACACUCUCUCACCAAAACAAUACACGACAUCACCCUUAGUGCUUUACACUCUUCCUCACCCAAGCAACAAUUACAAAGCAAUAAGGGUAAGGGAAUCAAUGACAUCACCAUAAAGUCAAGUAACAACAGAAAAUCAGUAAAAUAAACUUAAAGAACAACAUAACUCAAUUAGCAGCAAGAAUCGGGGAAAUCAAGGACAAGUGCACAGCAUCACCCUUUGUACUUUUACUCACAUCCUCACCAAGCAAUGAUAUAAUAAAAUAUGCAUGGCAUCACCCUUCAUGAAUUUACUCUCUUUUCUCACAUAUAAUCAAUAUAAUUAUCACAGAGCGGUACAUCAUGUGGCACGACAUCACCCUUCAUGCUUUAACACUCUUUCUCACCCAAACAACAGUCACCAAAAAUGGGCAAGAGAGUAAAAAACAAUAAAAGCAAUACCGGCAAGGGAGAACAAUUAAGCUAUUAAAUCCCGGCAAGGUACAACGUCAAUAAUCUCAACAUCCCGACAAGGAAAAAUAAUCAAUAAGCAAUAAUAUCCCGGCAAGGGAACAAUUUAAAUACUCUUUCUUUUUCUUUCACUUUUACUUCAUAUCUCACUUUACCACUUGAGCCAAUGCUCUAAAGGGUUCAAUUACCUCAUAUACUUUCACAAUUCGUAUCACAGCUCGAGCAAAUUCUCCUCGAAAUUUAAAGAUCACAAUUUCUUUCACAUGUCCUUUGCAACAUAUAGAAAUCAUUGUUUAGGCAUGAAAGGUAUAACAAAAUAAGAAUAUUCGCAAUAUAAAGACUCACGGUCAUGCUAGACACCAACGUAUAGAUACUCGUCACCAUGCCUAUACGUCGUACCCAAAAAUUAGCAAGUAGCAAUUAAGACUUAACUUCUAUUCCCUUAAGCUAAGGUUAGACCAAACACUUACUUCAAACUUCCAUGGUCAAUUCAAUCCUCAACAACCGCCUUUCCUCUCAAAUUUGGCUCCAAAUUAAUCAAAUCUAUACAUAAACUACUUCAUAAUAUCAAUACAUACUAAACAAAUCGAAUCCAACACCUAAUUAUAGUUUUCCAAGCACCAAAAUCCCAAAAUCGGCCCCCGGGCCUGCUUGGUCAAAACACAAGGUUUGGAGCAAAAUCAGAUCCCCCAUUCACCCACGAUCCCGAAUAUAUAAUUUGUUUUCAAAUUCGACCCUAAAACAAUGUCCAAAUCAAAAAGAAAAUUAAAAAGCCGUAACUCUACUCAAAUCUCCAAUUUCUACCCUUAAUUACAUAUUUUAGGCUUAGGAAUUUAUUAGAUGUUGAAGAAAAUGGAAGGAAACAAGCAAGGAUUACUAACCCAAGAAGUCUUUGGUGAAGGAUAGCUUCAAUGAACGCCUAAGGACCUUGGAGAAGAAGGAGUUCGUGAAUGUUUAUGAAAAUCCUGCAACAACAUUUUUCUGGAAAUUAAAAAUAUAAUUGGGCAAACUUUCCCUUCUCGUUAGAGAAAGGCUGGUCGUGUUCGCGAAGGGUAGCAUUUAACAGACCAUAACAUUCACGAGAUAAAGAAUGCGAACGCGGAGAGUAAACGGGUUGGGGUCCAGAAAUUGACCUACACGAAUGCAUAGGCCCUCACGCAAGAGCGAUGCAUAAGUUCUGCAAGCCUACGCGAUCGCAAGGGUAUGACUUCGAAUGCGAAGAGGAAAAGAAGGCUAAGCCCCCUAGGGUAAAAUAACCCUACGCGAACAGCAGAAGCAAAAUCUACAAUUUUUCUAAGUUUGAAACCACUCCAAAACACCUCUGAUACACUCCCGAGCCCUCGGGGCUCCUAACCAAACACAUGCACUAACUCAAAAACAUCCCACGAACUUAACCGUGCGAUCAAAUCACCAAAUAACAACAAAAUCAAUGAAUCAAACCUCAAAAUCAAGAGUUUUUCUUCAAACUUCAUUAAGUUUUAAAUUUAAAACUUUAAGCCCGACACAUGUCAAACAACGUUUGAUUUCAACCAAACUUAACAAAAAUAUAUUAAAUCACAUAUAAGACCUGUAUCGGGCGCCAGAACCAAAAUACGGGCCCGAUGCCAACAUGUUCUAAUUAAUUUUCAUUUCAAUUUUUCUUAACAAUUUCAGAAAAAUAAUUUCCUUUAAAAAUUCAUUUCUCACGCUCGGGACCUUGGAAUUCAAUUCAGAGAAUACGCUCGAGUCCCAUAUUUUCCUACAGGCCCUCUGGGACCGUCCAAUCACGGGUCUAGGUCCAUUUGCCCAAAAUAUUGACCGAAGUCAAAUUUAAUUCAUUUUAACACCAAAGUUUAGCAUUUUCACAGAAUUUCACAUUUAAGCUUUUCGGCUACGGGCCCCGUAUAUGCACGCAAAUUGAGGCGACUCUAAAUAAGGUUUUGAAGGCCUUAGAAGCACAAAAUGGAUAAAAAAAAAUAGUUCAUGACCGUAUGGAUCGUCACACCUGUUAUUCAUUUUAUAAUCGAGAGAGACGGGAGAGGUAAUAAGGUUAGCAGUGGUGUUGAUAAGUGUUGACUUUAUUUAAUUACACCUAUCUGUUUGGUGUUAUGAUUUGAUUUUAUACUAAUUCUUAAAUCGAAAGAGGUGAAUAGUAUGUAAUUCAAGUUAUAAAAAGUAAGGUAACCGAAAGUGAUUUACUUUGAAAAAAUAGCAUGUUUCAAUUCAAACAUGUAUUUCUGGUUCUUUAAUAUUACUAUCUUGAUAAUUAAUUUGUAUAAUCGAGAGGAGUGCAGUUCAUUAUUCAAUUUAAGUGAUCAUAAUAAGUGUCAUCGAGAGAGGCAUUUAUGCAUUGUGUGAGAAAUAGAGACUAAAAAUAAAUAUAUCCUUUUUAGAAUUAUCAAAUGAAAUCAGGAUCCCAACAUCUUUAUCAUAUUGUUAAAAAAAAAAUACUUUUCUCUACGGUUUGUUUGUUCAUUAUAUGCAAUUGUUAACUCUCAACUCAACUUUUAUGGUUCUCUCAAAUAGUAAAUUAAACAAGAACAGUUUGUAAAAUAGAGAAACCAAUCUUUAUGGGAUCGACAUCUUUCUAUAUUAUAAUUUGACAGAGUACGAUUUUAAAUUCAUAUACGCUAGACGCUCAUCACUUAUUCUAAAAGGAAUAAAAUAACUCCUACUUCAAGAGUUAAAGAAUCUGGGCUUCUUGAAAUCAGUCUUGCGCUUCCUGAAAAUAAUUCCAUCUGUUUGGACUUGAGCUCUAAAACAUGAUCUUGGCCAAAAUUAAUAAAAUAUAACAUUGACUCUCCAUUUACAUCAUGCAUGUUUUAUAUCUUUUGUCAGGGGUGUAAUCGUCAUAUUAUUAUGGUUUUUUUGUCAAUUGGCUACAAAAUCAAUAAUUUUUAAAAUAAGGUACAUGUUAAAAGGUGGCACCAAUAUAAAGUACGUAAAAAUAGCAUGGUAUAGCUAGUUUUUGAACCGUUCAUUCAAAAAUAACCAGACAGUAUAUAGGAACAGAGGAAGAGACUCCAAGAAAGCAAACUAAACUAUAGAUACUAAAGUUUCCCUACUAAAGGGGUUGGCUUCAACAACCCAUAAGGGACGGGUUACCAAGCUACACAAACAAUUAAUUUGCUUAUAGUCACAAAAGUUUUCCUACAUAAAGGGGCUAGCUUCAACAACCCAUAAGGGACGGCUUGCCAAGCUUCACAACUCAGAAAACAUUUGUACUAUAACCAAUGUUAGUUGUUUAUAACUCAGAAAAAUUUCAUACUACAAUAAGCUAACUUUCUCAGAGUAUUCUUACUCUAUUUUUUCAUACAUGGACCGACCUUUCCAUCCAUUCGAAAGAAAGAACAAAAGAGAAAUUUAUAAAGCACUCAUAUGUAAUAUAUCACAAAAGAUUUACAAAGGUUACAAGAUGAUUGUAAGAUGAUCCUACAACUACUAUAAGUCCUCCUUUAUAUAGGGCUAGGAGGUUAUUACAAGAUAAACUUACAUAAUAAAAUAAACCUAUCUUACAUGGAAAACGUAUCCUACAAGUGGGUCCUUCUAAGCAUGUGAAUGACUUUAGGCAAAACAACAAAAAAACACAUGAAAACGUGUGAAAGGGGUGAAAGAUACAUGGUGUAGCAUGUGAAAGUAUGUGGGAGCAUGUGACGCCAUGUGAAAGUAGGGUGUUACAUGUGACGAAGCAUGUGGAAGCAUGUGAAAACAAGUUGAAGUGGGGCCCUGAUAGUAUAGAAAGAUAUGAAAAAUUGUCUUGGCAUGGGUAGGAUACUUUUGAGGGUUUUUUUGGUGGCUAAUCUGGGAUUAUGGUAUGUUUAGGAGGGAUUUAGGUAAUUAUUCUUCAUUGAUUCUAGGGUUAUCUUCUAGGCAUCUUUUCAAAGACCUUGUAUAGUAAUGCCUGGAAUUUAACAGCCCUUCUUUGUUGUGUUCUUUCUCCUUUGGAUUGAGAGAUAUAAUCCAUAACCUUAAUCUGGAAAUAUCUUCAGUGAUCUUUUCUCGGAUGACUUCGUAUGGGGUUUGUCAUUCUAUUGCUACUUCCCAGACUCUUUCCUAGUGAGGAUGAUUGCUUGUAUAGUUCUAGCUUGCCCAAUCUUUUGGUCAUAUCUCUCUCGGGAUGCACCUACUUUUUUGAAAAAGGAUUCUUUGUGUCUCUCUAUAUUGUUCUUCCACUGAUAAAAUUGACACGGGAAAUUUCCACCAGAAUGAUGUCACUGCUUGCACCUGGACUUUUCCAUUAAUAAUCUUUACUGUCCUAUCAAACAUGAAUACCUUUGCUUUAUAGGAAUCAUUGAAGCAUUUUAACCAAUAUCUUCUAGGUUUGAACAAUAGCAAAGAAUACUUUAAGACCUGGUGCAAUGUUAUCAAAAUCCUUGAAGACGUUGCAUUUGAAUUCCAUGAAAAUAUAACACUGAUGGCAUAGGCACCAGAAAAACCAUAAUAGUUCUUGUAAAAAAUCCUUGGCUUGAGUUGUGAAUAUAUGGAAAAGUGGAUAUUCUGGAUUGACCCUAUAUGGCUUAAGAAUGGAUCCUCCAUGUUACCGAAAUACUUGGAGCUCAUAAUAAGUUCUUCUUUCCAUAAAAAUUGACGGAUCAAACGGAUCCAUGAGGAUGUACAACUCCGGUAGAUGAUCUUUUUGAUGUGAUGAACUUGUUCCUGGCAUACUUGAGAGCAUGAGGAUGUGGCUGAUUAUUUGUUGCUUUGACUUUAAUUUAACAGGGGAAAAUCUCUUUGAGAAUUCUUCCGGUCGAGAUUGAAAAUCUGUGAGAAUAUUAUCUUUUCCUUUCAAGUGCCUGCCUUGAAACGUAUAUGGAGAAAACCAUUGAGCCCACAUGAGAAUCUCAAGAUUGGGAAUAGUUUUUGCAUUUAGCUGAAUGAUCUUCAUGAAAGCCUUCAUAUCCAUUUCUAUCAGAAAUUCUGUGUGAAUAAGGAAAAAAUUAAAUUUCUUGAUUCCAUUCUUUACUGCAAGAAUUUUAUUGAAAGUGGAAUGAUAACGUUGCUCGGCAUCUUUGAACUUUCCACUAGCGUAUCCGCAUAUUUUUCUCUGGCCAUCUUUUUCUUCAAAUAGAACAGCACUCCAAUAUUCAUUGCUGGCAUCAGUUUGCAAUAUCUUCUUACCGUCUGAAAUGAUAUAGAAGGACUUGACAUUUUUAGAAAUCUCCUUUAUUUCCUUGAUUGCAACAUCUUGCUUCUUUUCCCAUGAUGGAGCCUUUUACUUGAGCAUCUAUGUGAGUGGAGAAAUGUAUGUAGAUAUAUUCAAGAUAAAAUCUCUCACAUAAUUUACUAUACCCAAGAAUUAUUGGGUCUGUUUUGUUGUGAGGUUGGUAUCCAGAAAUUUGAGUAAUUUUUUACAUAUAUAUGGUCCUAGACUGUAAUCACCUUGGACAAAAUGCAUUCCAAGAAAAUAAAUCUCCUUUUGAGCAAGGACCAUCUUUUUUGCUGAGAGCGUGAUUCUGUACUAUGUUACCAAUGCCUCAAAUUGAUUAAGCAAGUUGAUAUGUUCCUCUAAUGUAUAACUAAAUAACAGGAUGUCAUCAAUGUAAACUAAAGAGGUAUGGAGGAUGGUUUGGAAUAUUAUUAUCAUGGCUUUUUGGAACAAGGAAGGUGCAGUUUUUAACCCGAAGGGCAUGACUUUCCAUUGGAAGUGAUGAUCGGGGAUGCAAAAUCCAGUUUUGGGUCUUUCUUUAGGGAUGAUUCCCAAUUUCCACCUUUUUGGAACAAGGAAGGUGUAGUUCUUAACCCGAAGGGUAUGAAUUUACAUUAGAGGUGAUGAUUGGGGAUGCAAAAUCCUGUAUUGGGUCUUUCUUCAGGGUGGAUUCCCAAUUGCCAAAAUCCAGACUUUUAAAUCAAACUUGGAAAAAUAUUUGGCCUUGGCUAAGUGGGAGAAAAGAGUGAGUUUAUUNNNNNNNNNNNNNNNNNNNNNNNNNNNNNNNNNNNNNNNNNNNNNNNNNNNNNNNNNNNNNNNNNNNNNNNNNNNNNNNNNNNNNNNNNNNNNNNNNNNNNNNNNNNNNNNNNNNNNNNGACUUGGAGGAAAUGGUUAAGUGGUUGGUAAUUGAUGACUAACCUGAGUUUUCCUCUUGUCUGUUCAGCUCUUUUACUGACAUAAAAUGCUUCGCAUUCCCGUUAUGAAUCAGAUGGCUCUAUCAGAUCAAAUUCCAAAAGUUCUUCACAUAUUUCUUUGCAAACUGGAGAUAAUCUGGAUUCAUCCCUGAAUGACUGGCUUUUGUUGGAUUGAUAUUUCAUUCUUCUUGAAACAGAGUUUGAUAAAAAAAAGUCUUCAUUUUCCCAUAACGGGCGUUUUCCUUUCUUCAUGAAAUCCUUGUGUGAUUCAGCACAUGAAUGAUCAAUGAGAUUUUGCUCAAUCUCUUUGAUUUGUUCGUCAUUAGUGAUUUGGAAUAGCCUUGGAAUCUCAGAAUAAGGUCUGAACUAUUUUUCAAAAGCUAUCUCGUAAGCCUUAAUCUAGAGUUGAUCUCUAAGUUUUCUGUAAAUGUCAAAUCCAAUAAUAAGAUCCUUUCCUGGUAUAUCAGAUCCUAGCAGCUUCGUUGUGUACUUCAAUCCUUGAAAGAACUCAAUUGUGAUGGGGUGCUUUGUAAUGACAGUUGUGGUAAGAUUGCAUUUGAUGUAGUGUAGAAAUCCUUAAAAUGUGGCAUCCAUUGAUCUUCUGGGAGAACAGCAGUAUUUAUGAGUGAGGAAGUAGCUCUGGAGUCGAUGAAAGCAAUAACUUGAGUUGGUUAUCCCAUUUGGAUGAAUAGAAUUUGAGUUCUACUCGAGGAAUAACUACGAGAGCAUUGAUCUCCUCUCGGGCUUCGAUAACUGGUUCUGAAAUUUGGUUUUGAUCACUGCCUUGAUUUUCAUAGAUAUCAAGAGAGAAUAACAUUUCUUCAUUAGGUUCAUCAUCCACGGAGAAUAUAGAUUCAAGGUCUUCCUCCUUUCUGAGAUGUAUGUGCUCUUCAAUGAGUUUGACAGAUCUUCGUGAUUGUGGAUAAUUUCUUGCGAAAUGUCCAAUCUUGUGGCAAAUAAAACACAUAUUUUUCAUAUAAAAAUUUCAUGGACUUCUCAGUCUGAAAUAUUUUGUGCGUCUCUUGGACCUUGAUUUCCCAUAUGGAAUUCUUGGGAAUUUCGCCUAGAUGUGUGGCAGGAACAUCCUGAUCUGGUGAUUAGAUCCGAUUUGCGGCAUGCUUUGUCAAGCGUUGGAUAAUUUAUUUUAGGGUAGAGUGCUUUGUACAAAAUAUCAUCCAAUGCGAUUAAAAUAGGUUGCCUAAUGUAACCAAUUUUUGAAAUUGCUACGGGCUGAAACUUUUCUGCAAUGAUGGUCAUGGUUCGGCUUGCCAGCAACUUUGGAAGGGAAGAUACAAAGGCUUGCUUUAGAUUGAUGUCUCCAAUGAUCUCGAAGUAUGUCUUUGCUAUUUUUUAAAAAUGUCUGUCAAUGUGAUUUCUGUCGAAUAAUACACACUUCAUCUCGAAUCCAAUCUCGAAGUAUAUCUUCACCAUUCUUUGAAAAUGUCUAUCAAUGUCAUUUCUGUCAAAUGACACACACUUCAUCUCAAAGAGUUGUCUUCGCAUUUUCUCCUAUCUUUGACCAUUAUCUCCGCAGAAAACUUCAUGUAGGAUCCUGAUGUUGAUCGCAAAAUCUUGGGAAGUAAGAAAAGUAUUUUUGUCUUGAAUUCCAAGUGAGUUCCACCGGUAUUCUAAGGAUUCCUGAGAAUCGGGAAGUUAGUUCUGACAUGAUGAUAUACUUUUCUCGUUCCACCAAAUUUUUGGUCACCAUCCAAGUAUAGAAGUCUUGGAUCCUUUGAGGCCAUUUUGAAACCUUGACAUCAUCUAAGGUGAAUGUGUGGAAACCAGUUCCAACUGGUUUUGACGCCAUGGGCUCAUAUCUUUUUUCUGGGAUUGGUUCAUCUGUCAUGCCUUCUUUUUCCUCAUCUACUUCAGAUAUUUCUAGGUCUCUUAGCUGGUUUACAAAUAUUAGGGGAUCAUCUUCUUCGGAAGAUUUUGUUGUGGAUUCAUUGUUUGAUUGAGAGCAAUAUUCCAUUGUUUCAUCCUCUGAUGAUUUUAGAGAUUCUGACCAUGGGGUAUCUUCCUCUGAUAUGUAUCUUGGUUGGGAGAAAUAGAGGUCUGGAGUCUUCUAGUCAUAAAUCAUCAGAUUUUUGGUGUUUGACCCUUUUGAAUUUUCUGCUUGGUCUCGCCUUUUCUUGAUUUGUUUCUUUGCUGCAAGGGCAUCUUUCCUUUCCCAAAUCAUUUUUGCGAUAUCAAAAUCAUUUUCUGCUUUUGAUGAUUGGGAGAAAGAGAUUGGAUUUUGUGAGGUAGAUGGAAAGAUAGAAAAGGUGCAGUCCAAUUUAGGCGAGGAAUAUUCUUGUGGAGACAUAGGGAAGAAGGUAGGUUUUGAAGGGAAAACUGGGGUUUUUUGCGGCUCAAAUAGCUCAUUUCUCAAAAGUUGAAUUUGUUCCUUGAAGGAAAUUAUCUCCCUUUGUUGUUGUUGGAAAAAUUGGAAAAAUGAAGUUCCUUGCGGACAAAUCUCAUAUUGUAAAUUUGCCAAACCUUAGUUCUAAGGCUUUAAUUAGUCCUGCAUGCUGAGACAAUGUCUGCUCCAUCUUCUUUUCAAUCGUUUCCACUUUGCUCAACAUUUUUUUCUAUGUAUGAGCCACGUUCCUUAUGGUGUUGCUAAUGUUGUUCAGCACUUUGUUUUGGCAAAUGGAAUUUUUAGAUUGCUAGUUUAUUGUUGCUUCGAUGUCCCUCGUUGGGGGUUUUUCUCCAGAAGGUAGUACUAUGUUCUUUUUGGGAAUUUUUGGAGCAUAACCUAUACCGUCUUUUUAAAAGGUUGAAGUGGAGCAAAAUCUUGAGAGUGGUUGGGGCUUGAAGGGCCCAUCAUGAAUAUUUGUGGGUGUGUGGACUUUUGGGUUGAUAAAGUUGUAGGUUCGGGUGGCUUUUUGGAUUCUGGAGUAUGAGGUGAUGUUGGUUAGGAUUUAGGCAUUGUUUCACUAUCCUCCCAGCUUGGAGUGAAGUUUUCUGGUAGUUUUGGCCAUUCUUGGGGUUUGUAACUGGAAAAAAAAUUCAUAUUUACCUGGAUGGCUUAAUGAGCCAAUUGAAGGAUCUUUAUUUUCAUAUUUAUCUUGGAUUUGGGUUUUAUUUUGUUGAGGUCAAACCUUUCCCAAUGAUGGUGGUGGUGUUCAUCAUAUUCUCCAAUUGGAUCUUCCAAACAUUCUUUGCAGUCGCAAUCAAGAUCUCAAGGGCAGUGUCCGGUGAAUGGGCAUUUGAACCACCAAGCUCUUUUUACUUCUCUGUCAAAAUGUUGACACCAGUUAUGUUCUUCCAUGAUACUUUGUAUAUUCUAGAAAAACUCUUCGUCGGGUUCAUGAUAUGUAUCUAAUGUUUCUUUUGGUUGAAUCAUUUUGGAAAGAGAAGAUGGUUUUCUUGGGUUUUCUAAUAUGGGAAUGGUCAAAGCUUAUGGAAACAGUUUUGUCACUUCUUUUGGUAAAAGUUGGUUCACCAGAUUGCAGGGAUUCCUCUGAUACUCUUAGCUUCUCGUAAUUUAUGAUCGAGGAAUCAGGAAGGAAUUUUACAAGCUCCUCUCUAGAAAUCUGUCUGGGUAUUUGGGUGCUCAUGGUGUUUCCUUUACUAGCAUCAAUAUUUAAGAGUAAGGCAUUUUCUCCUCCAUGUAGGCAAAGAUCCAUGGCAUGAUUUUGGACUCGCCAUGCCAUUUGGUGGUAAAGGGUAGCUUGGAUGGAAUCUUUGGCUUGUGGGGCCCCAUGGAUUCGGACUUGGAUUUUUAGUGCUUCAGUUAGGUACGGGUCAUAAAGGGACAUGUUGAAAUUUAGAAAGAUAGUUAUGAAGACAGUUCCAGCAUUCAGGGUAACUUCGCCAGUACCCAAAUUUGCACGUUGGUACUCCAAAUAUCUUGUAUCUAGAAAAGAAAGUCGAGCUACAACGGGUUGACCUUUUCUUCAAUGAUAUGUUAAAUCAAUUCGGAUAGCACCAAAAUGGAUAUGGGUAAAACCAUGAUCUCUCCAUUGUCUGGAAAAAUCAUAUGGUAUUUGAAGGUGAUAAAUUGUUCUUCUUGAGUGGCAAGAAUAGGAUGUUGGUCAAAUUUUGAGGCAUCAACAUAUUCUUUAACUCAUUUUGGUAUGUGUUGGACUAAGGAACGAAUUUGGGUCCAUGGUGCAAAAGAUUUUUUGGCAAAAGCAGAGUAAGGGUUUAUGAGAGGUAGUUCAGUGGAGGAUACCUUUUGUUCGUCGGGUAGUAUAUCUAUUUCAUAGAGGUAAUUAUAUUUUUUGGACAAGGUUUUACAUAGAGUAGGGGACAUAUUCAUUUUUGCAAGGGAAGAGGAUGAUGGAAAUGACUUAGACAUAUCUAGUAAAUUGUUCAUCCCUCCGAAAGGACGGGAUGGCUCUGAUACCACAAUACAAAGGAAGAGAGGAAGAGACUCCAAGAAAGCAAACUAAACCAAAGAUACGAAAUUUUCCCUAUAAAGGGAGUUGGCUUCAAUAACCCAUAAGGAACGGUUCAAAAUAAAAUUUUCACUAUUUUGCUGCAAUAGAGACUGGUCCAGCAUAAUAUACUGGAGUUCAGUGCACUUGUGUAUGAACUCCAGCAUAUUAUGCAUGACCGGUAUACUUUGUUGGCUCCAGUAUAUUAUACCGGACCACUAUACUUGUUGGAACUCUAGUAUAUUAUGUUGGAGUUCUAGUGUACUUAUGUUGGAACUCCAUCAUAUUAUGCUGGAGUUCUAGCAUACUUAUCCUGGAACUCUAGUAUAAUAUGAUGGAGUUCAAAUAUACUUAUGCUGGAACUCCAGCAUAAUAUUCUGGAAUAUUUUUCGGGUUUUGAACAGUGUUUUCGCACAGUUUAUCUUUACAUAAAAAGUAGCUAAAUUUUGAUUACUUUGGAAAUUGAGCUAUUUUUUAAUGACCAGUUAUACAUCUGACUAUUUUUUAAUUUCUCUCAUAAAGUACGGCAAAAAAUUCCCGAUUGUUGGGCCAUGACUUUAUCAUAUAGAGAAAACUACCCUGUAUAGCCUUUCAAAAUUUUAAUAGCCCAAAUUUUUCCUCUUGGGCCCGAAAUGUCCCUCCGGCCCAAACUUAUUACAUCUACUAGCCCAUAAUCCAUAAAACACUCAUGUUUUUUAACUCGCUCCCUUAACCCGGCUCUCUCAAAACACCUUUCUUUUCAAACACGGCUUUUGCAUUUUUACUCUUGGUUUCAAUGUAAGUCCAAAUUUCAGUUGGUUUUCCGAUUUUUGUUCAUAGUCGACUCUAGGUUUUUCGAUUUUUUUACAUAUUCGUCUCUGUAACGAGGGAAAAGAAGUCUUUGAUGAAGAAGAAAAAAAGCAAGAUGAAAGCAUCUCCAAAUUCUCUGAAAUUAGCCGGUCAACUAGUGAAAUAUGACCCUAAUUUCACUAGGAAUGAUGAUGACAAUUUUGAAGAUUUAUCAGAAUUUGGUGCAAUUUGGGGCAUGCAACACGUAAAUAUAUUGAAUCAAUGCACAAUAUCCCUAGUGAAGGUAAGCAAAAGACCCUUAGUGAAGGUAAGCAAAUACCCCUUUUGAUAGAAGGACUCAUUCUCAUAGUGGGACUCCCAGCGAUAGAGUAAUGAGGUCACACACUAAAUCAAUACAAAAUACCCCUAGUGAAGGAAAGUAAAAUACCCAUGUUGAUAGAAGGAUUCCUUCUAAUAGCAGGACUCCCAACGAUAGAGCAACAAGGUCACACACUGCUCAGCAUGUAGUUGUUGAAAAGGCACAAGCUCAAAAAGAAAUAUUAAAAUCGUGGAAAAGGAUAUUGUGAAGGAUAAGGGUAAAGGUUCUAAAAGGAAGGCUAAAAGUGAUGGGAAUGACGUUCCAUCAAAAAAGAGAAAAGUUCAUGCUGAUAAAAAAUAUCCUAGUUCUCUUAUUUGAAGAUAUUUUCUAAUAAUAUAGCCUUGACUUGUGUGGGGUUAGCUUAUUUUAAUAUGUAGAAAUGUAACCAAUAUAUCAGUUAUGUUCCGUAUUUGUACAUAAAAUGUAUCAUUCUUUUUCAUAUUAUAUAUAAUAUGUAUCAAGUCAAUAAGUAAUGUACAACUUUGUAUAUAAAGUGUAUCAUCUAUCCACAUAUUGUAUAAGUAAUGUUUAAAGUGUGUAAUUAUAAUUUUUAUGAAGCUUAUAUAUAUUUAUAUUUUUGUGUUGUUUGCAUUUUGGGAUUACUAUGUUCCUUUGGGUGAUCAUUAUAGUACCCGUAUCAAUGUGCAUACAAACUACAUUAUAGUGAAACAUUUGAAAGAUAAUUUGGAUGAUCAAUAGAUUGAGAUGUUUAGAAGAACAUGUUUUGGUUAUUUUGUGGACUUGCCCGAAUUUUUAUACAGAACCAACUUAUCCAUUCAAUAUUGCUUAGGGAAGUAGUGUCACCUAAAGAUAAUGAGCUAUGGAUUAAAGUGAAUAGGACCAAGUUGCGCUUUGGACUUGUAGAGUUUUGUAUUGUUACAGGUUUAAAGUGUGACCAACUUAUCCAUUCAAUAUUGCUUAGGGAAGUAGUGUCACCUAAAGAUAAUGAGUUAUAUAUUAAAGUGAAUAGCACUAAAUUGCGCGUUGGACUUGUAGAGUUUUGUAUUAUCACAGGUUUAAAGUGUAAUGGUGAUCCCAAUAAGGAACAUGAAUCUGUGCAGUCAAGUCGGUUAAUGGAAUUGUACUUUCCAAGCAUGUUGAAAGUGUCUAAGAAGUUGUUAAAUGACUGUUUCAUAAAAAAGAUGUGGACAUCUUAUGAGGAUGCAUUAAAGAAGUAGUGUUGUAUUUCAUUCACAGUUUCCUGUGUUCUAUUACGAAUGAUGAUUUGAUAACAAAGAAUGAUUUUCUAUUGGUUGAAUCUGGUGAUUUUGAGACUUUCCCUUGGGGAAAAGUGGUUUUUAAUGCUACGUUAGAGUCAAAGAAGGAUAAGGUUCAUAUAAGGAGAGAGAUGUACAGAUAUGGUAGUUUGCCUUUGGCAUUCUAGUGUUGGUUUUAUGAAUGAUGCCCCUAUACUCGCAAAAACCUCGCGUACCAGAUUGGAGAUCUUGUGCCACGCGUACUUUACUGGCAAGUAAACAAUAAGGUGAUAUUUAAGAGGUUGAGGAGAGAUUUUUUUGUUUUAAGUUAAGAUCAGGUAAAAAAAAUAUACAUUUAUGAUACAUAUUAUGCAUUUCUGAUACAUUUCUUAUACAUUUCUGAUACAUGAAUUAUGCAUUUAUAAUACAUUUUUGAUACAUUACUAAUACAUUUUGAUACAUUAAUUAUCCAUUUAUGAUACAUAUGUUGUCUCUUUUUUUAAAAAAUCAUGAUUGCAAACUUUUAUUUAUAUAUUUGUAGUUGAUAUUUGGAAACAUUUCCCCAACAAUUGAUGAACAAACAAGGCUUCAAUUGCAUGACUUUGUCCCGAUUUGUGAAGAUAAAAAUGAGAUUCAUAUUAAAUCUAGAGUCGUGACUGAAGUUAAAAAAAAUGUUAAGAAGCACUCCAAAAAUAAGUUGAAAUCACAAUCUAUCAACAAUGAGAAUCUGGAUCCACAGCCUAGUAACAUGAAUUCAAGAGAGACAAAGCUGAAACUUCUGAGAAGUAAAAUCAAGAAGGUACAAAUUCUAUUUUGUAUUUGAGCAGUCCUGACAACUUAAUUGAUAUUCGGUUUCACUUUUCCUUUUAUAGGUAAACGACAAGGUUUCAUCUUUGGAGCAUUUAAUAUUUUCCUCAUUCGAAAAGUUUUUUAAAGCUCUAGGUGAACACGGUGCUUCAAAGGUAUUCUCAUGACUAUGCUUAUUUGUUAUUUUUACCUUUUACUAUAAUUUUACAACUUUUUUUAUGUUUUUCUGAACAAGAUAAUCAAAAAGAUGACGACCAUUAUGAUAAGAAAGUUUCAGAGUAACUUUGGUAGUGAGGAAGUUAUGGAGAAAAAUAUUGGAAUUAAAGAAGUUGUAAAGAAAAAUGUCGACAAUGUGGUAAGUCUAGAGCAAAUUGUUGAUGUUAUGGUGGGUGUGGUGAAUGAUUCUAUACAAGAUUUAAAAAGUAGUGAAGGAGUUGGUGAUGAAGAAGCCUGUAUUGAGGAUGCCAAGCUUGAAAUUACUGCAAUCACCCAAUAAUUUUGUGACAAAAAUACUGCUAAUAUGGGGAGUUUGGUGGAUGAUUCUAUAAAACUUGGUAAAAAUAGUUGUGAGGAAGUUAGUGAGGACAAUACCUGGAGUAGCGAUGCUGAGGCUCAAAUAACUGCAAUCACCCAAAAGUAUUUCAAUCAAGAACAUGGUGAUUGUUUAGGAGUGGAGAAAAAUAUUACUACUACGCGGGAAGAUCAUGUAAUUAUUGAUCAUGAUACACAUUAAAUGAGCCCUAAAGAAAGGAAACCAGCAAGGGUCAUGAAGUCACCAUUCAUGAACUGAACACAUUUGACUCUGGUGUCACCAUCCAAGUUGUUGAAAAUAAGUCAACUAAGUCAAAGAAGCCCAUCUAGACUAUUAAGUAUCCUUUGGAAAUUUUGACAAUCUUGUUGAUUUCAAAGUAUUGUGAUAGAGGCCUAAAAACUAAUGCGUCGUAAGUUUUGUGUUUCAGCUUUUUCUUUUUUCUUUUUUCUUUUUGUUUCCUUAUUUAUUUUUGUGUUAUGAACCAUAUCUUUUUAUUAUGACUCAUCAGGGACGGUGUUUAUACAAAGGUUAGGAAUAAGUUAAAGAAAACCUUUGAAUUUGGAGUUUAUGAUAUUGGAGAAAAAAAAUAGUUCUUCACAUUUGCAUAUGCUAGCCUACCCUUGUGUGAUUUAAUAAGUCAAUGCUUUAACUGUAAAAUAUAAACCGGUGAUAUACAUUUUUAGUUUUCUCAUAUCGUAAUUUUAUGACUUUAUGUGUAUAUUCUUUAUAUUUCAGCAUAUUGAUGUAUUCUUUUACUAUUUAAGAAAGAAAGGGAAAUAUGAUGUUGAUGUUCCAGUAAGAUUCACAAUUACUGACUGUUGGUUUAACUGCUUGAUUUCGAAUUUGUACAAGGAGUUUUUGGAGAAAAACAAAGACAUGAAUUUGAUUAUUGAAGAAGAUCAAUUUGUUGAGUAUAUACUUGGGUAUUUUUUAAGAUGUAAUGUUCCUUGGUCUACUGUUGAUGAAAACUAGUGAAACAGAUCCAAUUGCCGAGUAUAUACUUGGGUAUUUUUUAAGAUGUAAUGUUCCUUGGUCUACUAUUGAUGAAGUCUUUUUCCCUAUAAAUUUGUCUGAUAAGUGGCAUUUGAUAUUGGCGAGAUUGUCAUUCAAAUAUCUGCACAUUUACGUAUAUAAAUUCCAUGAGUGUGGCGCGACAGAAUAGUGGAGUUCAGAGAUCAGUUGAGCCAUAGUCAGUGUUGCUCCCAUACUUCCUUCAUUGUAUUGGUUUUUGGGACACAAAGGAUAAUCCUAUGGGAAUCCCCGUCAAUUAUCCUUUUGAGAUUCAUGUCGUUGAUGGGUUGCCAACGCAAGAUAACACGUAAAUUAUUAUUGAGUAUUUCUGAUUCUUAUUCAUUUUUUGUACAUGAAUUCCUAUUUUUUGGAUAUUAUCCUAACUUUUAUUCAAUAUUUAUGUGCUACCUUGUAUGUAGUGAUUGAGUACAUCAUUCAAGGUAGCAGUAUUCCCAAAGCUAUUGAUAUUUAUAGGAUACGAAAACGAUAUGGUAUAUUGCUAUGGGAUUAUAGAGUGAAGAAAAAAAGAGGACAAGCAGCUAGUGAUGAAGAGUCUACUGGUAGAUUGAAGGAUCAGAUAAAAAGGAUAACAAGAAAAAAAAAGCUAGUUGCAUUUCAUUGUUGAUGACAAGUCUUUGAAGGAUAACAAGAAAAAUGGCAAGACGCAUGUCGUUUGUAAUGACAAGACUUUGAAGGAUAUCAAGAAAAAUAGCAAGUUGCAUGAUGUUGGUGAUACCGAUACUUUGAAGGAUAUCAAGAAAAGGGGCAAGUUGAAGAGCAAGGUGUAGUAGUUUGGGAUAGUUUAACAGAAAAUUCACAUGUAGUUUUAAGAUGGAAAUGGUAUGAUUCUAAUAUUGUCUAUGAUUGGAUACAGUUGCAUACUUAUAUCACAUUUUAUGCUUUUUGUUUGGGGUAUCUUUGAACAAUAUGUUUGAAAUGCUAAUAUUAAAUAUUACUUUUAAUUGUGACUUAUCCUGUAGUUUUGGAGUUAAUAGUGAAAUUACGAAAAUUUUAAAUUUUGUAGUUUUGACUUUUCUACAGUUUUAGUUUUGUAAUUUAUACAGUUUAAUUUAUUUCGACAGCUUUUUCAUUUUCGAGUGAUUUUGCAAAUUUAGCUGGUGUUGCUAAGUUGCUACAAAAAACUUUGUGAACGAUGUUUUGGGGGCAGCUAGCUGUAUAUAAACUGUAUAGCGACAAUCUAUUUUGUAUAGUGAUAUCUAUUUGUAUAUUUUUGGAUAGUCAUAGUCUAUUGUAUGUAAAUUUUAUAAAUAUACAAUUUUUAUUUUGUAUAUUUAAUUGGUAACCCCUCUUUUUGUAUAGUUUUUGUAUAGUGAUAUCUAUUUUGUAUAUUUUUUGAAAUAUAGCUAUAGUUUAUUUUGUAUUUUUUUUUUGUAUAGAAACAAAUUAUAUAUUACAUAACAAUUAUAUAGUGACAGAUUAUUUUUUAUAUUUUGCAUAGUAACAGUCUUUUUUGUAUAUUGUCAUCUAUUUUAUUUAUUUUUUUUGUAUAGUGACAUCCAUAAUAGUAUGAAAUAGAACUUCCACCACUACUUUCAUUAUGACAAAAAGUAGCAUCUUAAUUCAUACAUCAUAGAGAAUCUGAUUGCCAAUCUCAUUAUUUUUCCAAUUUUAAUAUUCAGAAGAAAAAUUAUUAGAAAAUACUAAAUCACUGUAGUAGUAUCUACUAGUUAUCUUGAGGAUUCCUGCAUGUUCUUCUGUUAUAUCCUUGUUUUCCACAUAGUCCACAUGUAACAAUUUCAUUAUACAGAUAUUCAUAAAGUCCCUUGCGUCGCGACUUUGUCAGUGUUCCUGGUUUUCCCUUCACUAUCGUUGGUAGGACCAUACUAUCUAACACCUCUGUUGAAAGGUUCCAUGAAGUAUCAUCUGAAAGUGGAUUAACUGGCACUUCAUAUGUCUUCUUGAAGUAUUCUUUGGUGUAAUAUGCCGAACAAUAUUUGGGUGCUUCCAUGUGUGUGUAGUCCAAUACUACCAUAGCAUGUGGACAAGGAAUCUCAUCCACUUGAAAUCAUUUGCACGAGAAUUUUCUUUUUUGCAUGCAACCUAUGUUCCGGCUUUAUUCAGCAUCCAUUACUAUAUAUACAUAAUCGGUUGAAGGCCUCAGCUAUAUUUAAAUAGAUGUCAUUAGUAAAACGAAAACAUGGAUAUGAGAAGUAUUAAUGCAUUUUUGUCAAAGUAUGUUACUCCAGCAUAUGAAGUAAGAUACGCUAAAAGAAUAUUUACCCCCUUCUUCUGCGACACAUAGCUAUUUUCCUUCAGUACUUCAUGAUAUUUUUUUCUACACCAAUAAAUGUACUCAUUACAGUUAUUCUAUUUGUAUUAUUCCAUUCCAUAACCAAAUUCAUCAUGUAAUCUAGCAAACUCAUGAUUGGUAGCUCUCUUGCCUCUCUGUUCCUUGCAUUGAGUGACUCAGCUAUAUUUGAAGUCAUCACCAUGGAUCUAUUAGCAGUGAAAUGCACUAUAGACCACUUUUCAUAACCAACUUGGAAUAGGUAAACUCUUACCCUCUUAUCAAUGCUGUCCAUAUCUUCCAUUAGGAGAUUAAAAUCUUCAAUUUUGUAUGCUCUAGCCAUUGCAAAAAAUACUUCCCUCAGCCGAUCAUGGUUCUUCUUGAACUGCUUCUUUAUGUUAUUCCAAAGAUGAAAGAUGCAUAUACAGUGAGAUACCUCUGUAUAUCAAUAUUUGAAGUCAUCCCCAUGGAUCUAUUAAUAAUGAAAUGCACUAUAGACCACUUUUCAUAACCAACUUGAAAUAGGUAACUCCUUAGCCUCUUAUCGAUGUUGUCCAUAUAUUUCAUGAGGCAAUUAAAAUCUUCAAUUUUGUGUGCUCUGACCAUCACAAAAAAUACUUCCCUCGGCCGGUCAUGGUUCUUCUUGAAUUGUUUCUUUAUGUUAUUCCAAAUAUGAAAUAUGCAUAUACAGUGAGAUACCUCUGGAUACACAAUCAAAAUACCCCUCAAUAUGCUUGCAUGACAAUCCGAUACGAUGCACAUCUUUUCCCUUUUCCCAAAAGCCUGUCUAAACAUUUCGAAAAAUCAUUCCCAUGAAGCAUCAUUUUCAUAAUCUACAACAGUGAAUGCUAGUGAAAGAAUUUUACCUGGUUAAAAAAAUAAGAAAGCAUUCACAUGUUAUUUUUGUUAUACACGUAUAAGAACUAUCUAUACCAUACAUAAUUAUCAUACAAGACUGCAACAUAUUUACCUGCCGCAUUUUGUGCUUUAGAUGUUAACAUGCUCCCCUGUGUGAUAAUUUGAGGAAUGUCCCAUCAACCACUACAAUAGGGUAAAAAUAUUUCAAUCCUAUGAUUGUUGCAUUUAGUGCAACAAAAACAUACAUGAAGCGCCCAUCCUCUGAUUUAUGUAACAUUGUGAAAGAACAAGAAAUUGUCAUAUUUAUCAUAUACAAGUGACCUGGCAAUUUUUUAUAAGAUUCACAUGGUAUCCUUCUUAGUAGUUCAAGUGCCUUUUAUUUUGUUCUAUAGGCUUUUAUGUAACUCAUAGUAAUCUCAUACUAUUGUUUCAUGGCGCUCAUGAUGUCUGCCGGAGUGUAUAUUGUUUUUGGGUUGGCAUAUUUGUUGCAAAUCAUUUUUGCAAUGGUAGACGAAGUAGCAUGAUGUUGUGAAAACAGUCUAGUCAUCUCUGGGCAAGUAUGAACAUCAUUGAACCGUCUAACCUUCGAAGACAUUUGAUUUGUGUAGGCUUGAAGAUCUAAGACUCCAUUUGAAACUUUCAUCCACACAUGUAAGAUAAUACUUAUUUAAAAUAUAGGGUUAUGAUAAUGCAUUUCUUCAGAUUUUUACACUUGUAUCUCAAAUAAAGAACCAUUAUACAUAUGUAAUCUCACUAUACCAUAAUGAUUUAAUUUUUAUACAAAUAUGUAUACAUAAAAUUACGCUAUGCACUUUUUAAUACAGAUCUAUAUACAUAAAAUCAAGAGAAGUGCAAUCUCACUAUACAAUAAUUAUACAGUUUUUAUAUAGAUCUGUAUACAUAAAAUUAUAUAUAAGUGCAACCUCAUAAGUAGAAAUCAUAACUUGUUGUAGAUGAUCUAUCGACUAUAAAUUGACAUUUUUCUCGUAUUGCAUAGUGCUUUAUUACACUAAUAAGUGUAUCUUUCUCCCAAUACAACUGACCUUCUGCAAUUUCUUCAUGUUGUGGAUUGUCUAUUAUACAAUUUUCCUUCAAUAUGUCAAUUUUGUCUUCCUUUGCAUGAUCAUGAUUAUCUCAACAAUAUUUGUUUCGUGUACUUCUUCUACGUUCUGACAUUGUAAACCAACUGAAGUUGUUGCGAGUAAGUUUCCAGCUAAAGUUGUUGCGAGCAAGUUACCACCCAAGUAUGAACUUGAAUAUGAGCAUUCAGCACUUGAAUACACAGUUUUCAAUGUUAUGCAUAAUGAAUAUUCAGUAAUAUUCAGAUUUUCCUUUUUCAUCUCCAUAUACAAGCGCACACUCAUAUCAUUGUAUAUUGGAAUUGCUAUAUAGCCAUCCUUCACGGUAUAUUUUAUCUCAUUGCACUUGUAACUGAAUCUCUACCCAAUUGCUUGUAUAUCUUAUCAAAAAAGUAAUCAUAGCUACAGUCCGAAUUGAUCAACACGCCAUUAAUAAGGAAAAUAACAAAUUUACUCUCACUGACCCAUUCACCACUGUGUUGAAGUAAAAUCGGAAUCAAAGUUGGAACGGUAGUUUCAACAUUCACAAUCUCCAUAGACAUUAGUUGAUUUUAUCAAUUUGUAUUAAUUUCACAAUUUAAGAACGAAAUCUUAGCUUUAUUAAUUUCAGUGUAAAAUUUUGAGAGCUCUUCUCUGGGUUUAAUCUUCACAAACCCUAGAAUUAUUUUACAAUGUGAAUCAUUGGGCGACUUUUAUAGUAUUUGGAGGUUGAAGAUCUCAUACUACGACUGCUUUUCUUUUCGUUUGCGUAGAGCGUAUAGUUUUAGCUUUUCCAAUUGCUAGCCUUUGUUAUUGUUUUGAGGCUAUUAUUUAUAAGGGGUUAUUUUGUUGCUAUAGGUGAUAUAAGUUUGGACAUAAUUGCUACAAAUAAAGUUUGCUCUAUCAUUUAACCAGGAUUUUAUUAUGACUCCUAAUCUCCGAAGAAAUGGAGGUACCCACGUUUCUCCUAUAAAAAGGGUCUAGCAAUCUCUUCGUAUUAUAGGAGGCUAAUGUAUGAGACCAUUGUUUGAUGAACUUCUUUUAGUCCAAAAAAUAGCAUUUUUCCCAUAAGGUAUGCGAAAGAGAAGUUUUUUUAUAUGAACUUGAAAGUACCUAUGACUAAACAAUUACGGAUAGUCCAAAUUAUGUAGAGGGUGAUUAGAUUAGCUUUUACAUUGGUCAGAUUAGCUUUUAAGCUUUUAUUUUAGCUUUUUUUAAUAUUUGACAAAGUCAAAAAAUGCUUUAAAUAAGUUCAAAACGACUUAAAACAGGCCAAAAGCAAAAAGUUGAGCAACCCAACUUAUUGCUUUUUGGCUUAAAAAUUAUUUUUGCAGAAAAAUUAUAUUUUUUAAGCCAAGCCAAACUAGCUAAUAAUCCUAUUUCUCUAAGUAUAUAAUCUUACACCAUGAUUCAUUAGUUGAAUUAAAGGAAGAUUCCAUUAAAAUAAAGAAAAUUUUAUUAAACUUGGCAUGCAAAAACACUAAAUAACAUCUAACAAUUAUUUGUAGAAGAAAUAAGUGGUUCCCUCAAGCUCUAUUGUUUUCCUUGUGUCCUUAUUUCCGUAAGUGUUUUCACUUCAUUGGUGACCCACAAAUAGAAGUAGAGCUGGAAUUUGAAGUUUAUGACCGUCUAUUUAAAUUACUGAAUUCUAAAUUAAUAAUUUAUAUAUAUUAGAUUUCUUAAGACAAAUAUAGAGCUUGAAUUAAAGUUACUGAGUUCGACAACUCAUAACCUGCAUCCCGGCUCCGCCCUUGCAUAUAGAUAUUUACUUUUUCUAGGACUUGGGACUAUUUUUGCUAUGUCAUAUUUGUUUGGGACAUUCCUCGCAUUAAUAUAUAUUUAUGUUAUAAUUCUGGGAAGUAUAUUUUGAUUUAUGAACCUAUGCACUUGUGGUGCAGGAAUAUCGUGACAACAUGGAGAUUAGACUGAGCCAGAAAAAAAAGGAAGAGGGCAGACUCAACAACUCAAAAGCUAAUCUCAGCCUUUUGGCCAUUGUGGAUACUAGAGGAGAUACAAUAUAUAAUGGGUUCGCGGAUUCAGCAGAACCUAGUGAUACGAUUUAACAAGUAUAGCUCGAGUUAAGGAAAUCUAUGAACACGCGAGGCUAAAUAUAGUAUGAAAUCUCAAACCAUUAAUAAUAUAUGAACAGGCUUUAGCUGUAAACAUCAAUGAAACACUUAAGGAUCAAACUUGACUGCAAAAUCGCGAUUCAAGAAGCAUCAGUGUUGCAGUAAAUAACAUGAUAUAAAGGCACUAAACAAUACCAAGAUCCAUCCCCUUUUCCACACUGCCAAAAACAGAAUUUAACGUGCAGAAGUUUGUUCUAUUAAGAUCUGAAUAAGAUCUUUAGGUGAGCUUAAAUGUAUCAUCUAAAAGAUAUUGACAAAAACAUAAACAAGUCUACCUCUUAGAUUGUGUUUUAGAAUGCAACUUUAUGGUCUCCUCUUGGACUUGUUGCGCAUAAACCCUUCCAUAAAAUCUUCGACGAGUAGGUUUGGUUUUACUUCAUGGAGCAAUCCUGGUUUCUUCAUCUUAGAAUUCUGAAAAUAACUGGUAAAAGUGAGUAGAGUUAGUAACCAUACUGAUCUGAUAACCCAAAAUAGGAUUAUUAAUUUGGUAGCAAAACAAGUCAUCAACAGAAAAACAAGCACAAAGGCUGUAGCACCAACUUCUGUUUUUUACUUUCCAUGCAUUAUUUCCCUUAUAGACAAAAAAGGCUGCCCAAUGGACAAAGCAUUCUGCAUUUACGCAAGGUCCGGGGAAGCUGCGCACCCUAAGGGGUGUGAUAUAGACUUACUUUCUGAAUAUACAACCAACACUUACAUGGAACUUCUUGAAGAUCCUGGUUUGUCCCUCAAACUCAAAGCUUCCAGUUGGUGUGCCAAGUUCUUGUCUUGAUCACCUUGAGCUGAGCUAGUUCUUGAGACAGCAUUUCCAUCAAUUGGCCAAGUCAUUGGAAGUAUUAAGUCUCUACAGAACAAGAAAACUUGUCAUGUCAGCAUUUCAAUGUUUUCAACAACAACAACAACAACCCCAGUAUAAUCCCACUUAAUGGGGUCUGGGGAGGGUAGUAUGUACGCAGACCUUACCUCUACNNNNNNNNNNNNNNNNNNNNNNNNNNNNNNNNNNNNNNNNNNNNNNNNNNNNNNNNNNNNNNNNNNNNNNNNNNNNNNNNNNNNNNNNNNNNNNNNNNNNNNNNNNNNNNNNNNNNNNNNNNNNNNNNNNNNNNNNNNNNNNNNNNNNNNNNNNNNNNNNNNNNNNNNNCCCCCGGCAUCCUUCCCUCCAAGAACAUCCCACCUUGCUCUUGGGGAGACUCGAACUCACAACCUCUCGGUUGGAAGUGGGGGUCCGCGAAGCAAACAUGUGCUACACCCAACCUCUUGCAUUUAGGAUGGAACUUGAACUCGUUCCUCAUUAUCAUUUGCACAAGUUGUCUACGUAAAUACUCCAAGGCCAGAACAAAGAGGUAUGGAGACAUCGGGUCGCCUUGUCGCAAACCUCUUUUCCCUUUAAAUGGAGCAGUGAGGCCACCAUUGAAGUUGAGAGAAUAGGUAACAGAGGAUAUACAUUCCAUAACCCACCCGAUAAAUUUAUGAGGAAAGUCCAAAUUCUGCAGCAGUCUAUUAAUGACAGACUGAACAUCUGCCAUACAGAACAAAAGAAGAUCAUCCGCGAAGCAAACAUGUGCUACCCCCAACCUCUUGCAUCUAGGAUGGAACUUGAACUCAUUUCUCAUCAUCAUUUGCACAAGUUGUUAUGUAAAUACUUCAUGGCCAGAACAAAGAGGUAUGGAGACAUCGGGUCGCCUUGUCGCAAACCUCUUUUCCCUUUAAAUGGAGCAGUGAGGCCACCAUUAAAAUUGAGAGAAUAGGUAAUAGAGGAUAUACAUCCAUAAUCCACCCGAUAAAUUUAUGAGGGAAACCCAGAUCCUGCAGCAGUCUAUUAAGGAAAACCCAUUCUACUGAGUCGUAAGCCUUCUUUAAAUCCACCUUAAGCACACAUAUAGAAGAAAUGCCCUUCCUGAACUAGCCUUUGAACAGUUCUUGUGUGAAUAAGAUGUUAUCAAUAAUACUACGACCGUCAAUGAAUGCUGACUGUGAUCCACCCACCAGAUGGUCAAUAACCACUUUCAACCUAGCUGCUGUGAAUAAGAUAUUAUCAAUAAUACUACAACCCUCAAUGAAUGCUGAUUGUGAUCUACCCACCAGAUGGUCAAUAACCACUUUCAAUCUAGCUGUAAUAAUCUUUGUGAUGAUCUUGUACAGAGUUGUACAGCAGGCAAUGGGCUUGUAGUCCUUGACUUUGGUUGGAUUCUGUACUUUGGGAAUUAGAGUUAGUGCAGUGCUGCUAACUCCAGUAUGUAACUUCCGGGCAAUCCAGUGAGCUCUAGAUUUCUGUUGUAAGAUUUGAUCCUCUAUAUUGCUCCACUUCUUCACCUCCAUAAGUAGCAGCCUCUCCUGGUCAAUCAACCAUUUGUCCAUACAAUUGUAUUGCAAGUGAUUCUGUAUGGUUUCCAGCUUCUACCUUGCCUCACUGAGAUGUAACCUAUACUUUGCCAUAUAGGUAUUCAGUUCCUUUAACCCCACCUUUAGGGCCUUCAACUUAUUCCAUAAUCUCUGCAUUUGCCCUCCCUGCUAAUGCUGAUUCCAUACCCUUUCCACAAUGCCAGGGAAUUCAGUAUGGUCCAUAACAGAUGUAUACAGUUUGAAAGGCUUAGGAUGAAUGUUCCUUCUCUGUUCCUCAGGGCUACACAGUAAGAGGAUAGGGGAAUGAUCUGAAACUCCCGGAGUCAACACAUCAGCUUCAAUGUGACUGUAUUCCUGCAUCAAGUGCACAUUCCAAAGACCUAAUCAAUUUUUCUAUACACUCUUGUCUCUGGCUUUUGUUUAUUUCACUACGUAUAAAAACAGCCCAAACUCUUCAACUAAGUGAGUUGAAGAGCAAUGAGAGUGUCUUGGAAACCUUGAAUCUCCUGUUGCAUAACUGGAGCACCUAUUUUGUCAUCCGUGUGGAGUACAUUAUUGAAAUCUCCACUGAGAAGCCAGCUGCCCUGAAUAGUAUCCCCUAAGAUCAACAAUUUGGCCCAAAGUUGUUGUCUCUUGCUCAAUUCAUUAUUUGCAUACACGACUGUUAUCAGUGUUCUGAAGGUUGUACCUCUUUCUUUAACCUCACAGUGAAUAAAUUGUUCAUCAAUCUUCAAUACCUGCAGAUCAACUUUUGAAUUCCACAGUAUCCAGGUUCUCCCAUUGGGAUGCUCAUUGUAGUUCCCAAUAUGUCUCCAAUCAUUCCCCAGUUUUGUAACAAUCUGUUUCACCUUUGCUUCCUUCAAGCUCACUGUAGUUUCUAGUAUGUCUCCAAUCAUUUCCCAGUUUUGUAACAAUCUGAUUCACCUUUGCUUCCUUCACUCUAGUUUCUAUACAUUCAUACAAUCUACUUUAUGCUUUUUCAGAAAGUGUCUCAGCUCCUUCUGUUUAUGGGAAUUAUUUAGACCACUAAUGUUCCAUGUGCAGACUAUCAUGAUGUGGUGAAGCUGGAUGGGCCAGCGUCCCCUGGAUCAUCACCUAUCUGUAGCAAAGAGAAGCUGUUAGUUGUGUUCAAUGAGGCUCCGUCACAUUGUUGUACAUUCUUUCCUUUUGCCAACCCUCAAUCAAUCACCCUGCUUCCAGCAUUGUCAGUGUGCUUACAUUCCUCCACUGUUCUAUCAGUUUUAACCACUACAUUAUCCUUCUUUGUUUUUUGGUAUCCAUUGCCAUGUCUCACUUUGCACUUUCUGCUUUACCCCUGCUGCCUUAUAGUGGUUCUGUGCUACCUCUUCAUUGCCCUGCCUCUUUAUAUACCAACAGUCUUCAGUACUAUGACCAAAUCUGACACAGUCAUUGCAGUAUUUUGGCCUCCAUUCGUAUUCAAUCUGUUGUAUGAUAACCAAGCAGUCUUCAGUGCUAUGACCAAAUCUGACACAGUCACUGCAGUAUUUUAGCCUCCAUUCGUAUUCAAUCUGUUGUAUGAUAACCUCCCUCUUUGUAUGUAACUCAAGACUAUAAGGCAAUGGUUGGGAUAUGUAUGUUUCCACCAGAACUCUUGCAAAAGAUAUCCUCUCCAGUUCAGCAGUGAUUCCAUUGGUGUACAUAGGUUUCCCAACUACACUUGCUAGUUUUACGAUUGCUUCAGUGGACCAAAAUCCAAGUGGCAAGCCAGGGAAAGUGACUCAUAAAGGAACUACACUCAUAUUACCUGGUUCAUACUUGAAGUCCAUACUCCACUGUUGCAACACUAAUGGUUUAUUAUGAAAUAUGUAUGGACCAGCCUGAAGAACAAGGUCCCUAUCUUCAUUGGUGUCAAAUUUGAAAAAUAUAAUAACCUUCGUCAUGAUGCAGCACUUGAGGUUUUGGGACAAAAUCCCAAACAUUUGUAAUAAAAUUGUCCAUAGCUCGCUCAUACGGGUAUUCUCCUAGUAAAAAUCCAAUCAAUGCACUGCUCCAGUAGGUCUCAUGUUCCUUCGUAUCAUCGUUAUCAUUUUGAACCACAAACGUACAAUCUCGCAUUACAGGUGGUACAUAGCUUAGGGAUUUCCCUUUUUGAGGGCUUCGAUUAUGUUGCAUGUUGUCUCUGUUACCAUUUUUAGCCAUAGGAACACCAGAGAUCUGACCAAUCUGAGCUUGUUUUGCUUGUGCAGAAAAAUGGAGCCGUCGAUGAACUGUAUCGACACGUUCCAUCCCCAACAUUUCACCCUCGCCUUCAACAAUUUCCUCACUGAUAGAUUGGAAUUUCAACGGUAGGAAACUGCCAAAUGUUACUGGUAUCCUCUGCUGGACACCAUUUUCCGGCGUUAUCUGCAUCCCGAAUUUUCCAGUUCCGCUAGGGUUGUGAAAGAUUGUCGGCGUCCAACCCAUUCCGAUUAACCACUGUGUAGGCUUAUUCAUAGCUGGUGUUUCUAUUUUCUCCACCUCCGGUAUCAAUUUUGGCACCGGUUGUUUUUUCCGUCCUCUCACCAUGGUUGGAGGCGCAGGUUAGCGUCCUGCUUAUCCUGCGCCGAGAGCUUUUUAGAGAGAGAAAAUCUCUAUCAAGAUGUCAAAUAUCACUCAUACUUGUAUAUACUUUUUUUGAUACUAUCAAUACGUAUAACUUAAAUGCAUAUAUGAUCCUAAAUGAUUUUAAUUUACAUAGACAGUGGUGACAUCAUUUUAUGCUAUUAAUGUAGUUUUUUUGUUUUUUAAUUUAAAGUCACCUUUUAUGGUGUAGGGGUUCUAGCGGUAUUUUUGUGCCUCGUCUUUGUGAAAAUAGUACGGGCUAACAAUUGAAAAAUAGUCAGUAUUUGCAAAGUUAUUUAAAAAUAGGCAAAUUUGUGCUGCAACACGGAAAAUUCCAACAUAAUAUACUAGAAUUGACGCACCCGGUAGCGGAGGCAGGAUCUCCACGAAGGGGGUUUAAAAAAAAUUGUAGCUAGCGGAAAUUGAACCUUUGACCUAAUGAAGGUUCUGAAUCCCUUUAACCACUAAACGACACUUUUGAAUUGUGUUAAGGGAGUUCAAAAGUUAAUAUAUAGAGAUAAAAAAUAGAUUAUAUAUAUAUANNNNNNNNNNNNNNNNNNNNNNNNNNNNNNNNNNNNNNNNNNNNNNNNNNNNNNNNNNNNNNNNNNNNNNNNNNNNNNNNNNNNNNNNNNNNNNCCCGCCCCUCUCUUUUUUUUAAAUGACCCUUCUUCAAUAAAAUUGAAAUAAGAUGGUACACACAUUCUUAGAUCUUGCCACCUUUCACUUUUAUUAAGAGUCACUAAAUGAAAAUAAAGAGGGCUACCACGUGGGGGUAGGAAGGGAAAUUUUAAAUUAUCCCAACUUGUUACUUGAUUAGAUAAUAUUCUGUUACCCGAUAAUAAUCUAUCUCUUAUUUCGGAGAAAUAAGUGGCUCACGAGGAAUGGAAAGAAACAUAUUCUAUUUGAUCUCUAAGUCCGUACAUAGCAUGAUCAUAUUGUACCAUAUAAUAUAUAUAUAUAUAUAUAUAUAUAUAUAUAUAUAACUUCCAGCAUUUAUGCUGGAACUCCAACACCCGAAAAGUUCCAUCAUAAUAUACUAGAGAUUGGAACACAUGUGCAUGAACUUCCAGCAUAUUAUGUUGAACUAGUAUAUUAUACUAGAACUCCAAUAUAUUAUGGUGACGAAACGACUAGUCAGUUCGCUUUUAAAGAACCUCAUUACCCUAUAUAAGACUUCCCGUACUUUCUUUUGCGGAUUUAUGACUUGCAGGAAUGGUUGGUUCACGAUUUGGAAGGGUUUGGGUUGAAAUCGGAACACUUGGUUCCCCAAGGUUGGCUUAAAGGUCAAGUUUUCGGUCAAUGUUUUGAGUAAACAAACUCGAAAUCCAUAUAUAAAGGUUCCAACAUGUUCGUGUGAUGAUUUCGGACUUGGGCGUAUGUCCGAAUUGGGUUUUGGAUGUCCUCUGAGCGUUUUGGUGUCUAAUAGUGAAAGUUGAUUCCUUAAGGAUUUUGAAGUUCUUAAAUAUUUGGUUUGGAGCUGGUUUUUUUGUUAUCGAGGUCCAAACGGAGUUUCUGUGAUCGGGAAUAGUUUUGAAUUUCCAUUUAAGACUUGUAAACAAAAUUUGAUGUCAAUCCGAGUAGUAUAAGUGUGUUUCGUCGCAUUGGAAGUAAAUUGAAGAGCUUGAAGUUCAUAAGUUUGAUUCAAUUGGUUUUAGGGGUGAUUAUUAGAUUUAGCGUUGUUUCGGGAAUUUUGAAGGUUUGAGCGAGUUCGUUUUAUGAUUUCAAACUUAUUGGUAUGUUCGUGUGGAGCCCGGAAGCCCCGAACGUCAAUUGAACGAGGCUCAAGUGAAGUUAGAAAAUUUAGAAAGGAGCUGAAGCUCUAGUCUUCUAUCAUAAACACACUUGCGGUUGGUCAGUCGUAGGUGCAAGAUCAUAGAAACGGUCGUUCUCUCUCAUGAGCGGCCAGGGCAGGCCAAUCCUAAAGUCACGGGAGCGGCUAAUCUUCCGCAGAAGUGAUUUUCUCGCCGAAGAAGUGGCCCAGCUGAAUUUUCGCAGAAGUGAACACCUUUCCGCAGAUCGGGUGGGCGCAGGUGCAACCCAGGACAACAGAUGCAAAAAUCACUGAAGCAAUGACCUUCAUUUAUUGUGGGUGUUAGCAUUUUUGGCUCAUUUCCCCUCAUAAGUUGCGCGAUUUUGGGCUCUUGAGAGAAGAUUUUUAUCUAGCAUCUUGAGGUAAGUUAUUCCAACUUAUUUUGAAUUUAGUACUUGGGUCUUGGGUAGAUAACACACUAAGAUUAGUGAAAAAUCAUGCGAUUAGAGUAAAAUUAGGGUUUUGAUAAAAAUAAGAUUUAACCACGAAAUUUGUUAUGGAAUAGAGUAAGAUAUCAUAUAUUCUUGAUUCUUAGGUUAUAAAGAACAACUUUCUUCAAAAAAUUUCGGAAUCCGGGCACGUGAGCUCGAUGAAGGAAUUUAGGAUACUUGUGUUUAGGGUUAAAAAAUUACUUUAAUAGUUAGAAUGUGAACUUGUAAGCUUGUAUUGACUAUUUCCUACCUUGUUUAAUUAGUUUUGUAUCAUUCGGAUUCAAAUUGGAGAUUUGAGCGUGUUCUCGAUAUUGGAAGUACGCUUGAAGCGAGGUGAGUCUCUCUGACCUUGUAAGAGGGAAUUAUCCUCAUAGGUGAAAUAAUUGAGUAAUCUGCCACUAAGUGGGGCGGGCUACGUACACAUUAGGUGACGAGAAUCCGUGCGUAGCCAUUAUUAUGCUUAAGUUCAGAUAGUCUAGUACUCAAAAGCAUGCUUUAUGUGAUAUUCUUGUAACUUAAUGGUUAACUUGGAUUGCUUAAAUCAUGUUGAAUGUGGAAAAUGAAAUCAUAAAGAGGAACAUCAUUUUCUUGACCUUUUUAAAGAGAAGUUGUCAUUUCUUUGAGUAAUUGCCUCCCUGAUAUAUUCAUAUCUGGCUAUUUGUUGUGUUUAAUUAUAUUUGAUCGUGUUCACAUGUAUGAUUCACGAGCGGGGUAAUAGAUGCAUAUAUGAUUCGCGCCACUUCGCCACACUUUAUUUUUCUAUUGGAUAGGGCCGUACGACCUUGACACUAUUUGCGCCAUGCCUCUUGCUUGGUAUCUUUAUGUGAAUUGAACUUUGUUGAAUGCCCUGAAAUGUAAAUUGCUAAGUGAGAUAUUAUUUAGGAAAUGACCUAUCACUUCUUGCUAUAAAUUGUUAUUUAUUAGUGACAUCCAAGCUUAGUAUCACAUUUUCUUAUAUUAUUUGACCCUAGUAAGUGUCAAGUCGACCUAUCAUCUCUAUUUCUUUGAGAUUAGACGGGAUAUUUACUAGGUACAUAAUGUUUAUGUACUCAUAUUACGCUUCUUUACUUAAUUGUACAUGAUCUGAUGCAGGUAUAUUUGGCUACCAGUCUGGUGCGUAUUCUUGAUCGUUGUCCGAGAUUCUACGGUGAGUUGCUCCCUUCCUAUGCCGUUCAACAACAUGAUGGAACCUCUCUUUGAUUUUGGCUGUCUAUUUUAUUUCAGACAGUAGAAUAGAUUUACUCUUUUGUAUAUUCUACUAGAUGCCCAUAUACUUGUGACAUCAGGUCUUGGCACACACAUUUGUAGACUAUUAUUUUAGGAUUGUAUAAUUAUUAUUGUACGUUGCUAAUUAUCACGUGUUAUAAAUUCAAAUCAAGAAAUUAUUGUAAUUGUUUUAGUAAAGUAAAAUUAGAAUUCACUAAUAUUUCUACGUUUGCUUGCCUGACUAUGGUGUUCGACGUCAUCACGGCCUGCAAUGAAAUUGAAUUGUGAUAAUUAUGUUUGAAUAUUUUUUAAAUUUUGAAAAAUAUUUUUGUUCAGCUCUAUCUUUACAUAAAAAGUGAUUAAAAUUCAAUUACUUUUAAAAUUAUAGUUAUUUUUCAAUGACCAAUUAUAAAUACAACUAUUUUUUAGUUUCUUCCGUUGUCAUUCGAAGUCCUGUUUAAAAAGUAGUUGCGAGAAUAAUUUGGAUUAAGCGGUCCUUUUUGGGGCCACUAUUGAGACAUAAGUUGGCCAGAGUUUUCCUUGACAUAACUCUGUUACCGUUACUAAGAAAAGUAAGUAAGAAUUACUAUUGAUGUGGCUCUUUGGCUUCAUCACCCCCAACAUGUCUAAUUGUCUACAACACGUUUAUACUAGGUAUGAGGGAUAACCGAAUUAAAUUUAAGGUAAAUUUAUUUCACGUUCGAUUUAGAUAAAAUUUCGAAAUGAUUAAUUUUGGAAUUGUAGUAUUAUUUUUAUAUGUUUAUGCGAAAUGAUCCUUCUAUGUUGUUUAACUUGUUGUAAUAAACUAUCUUACUAAUUUAUAUUCCAUGUUACCAAGAACAAAAAGGAAUCGAAAGGAUUAAGUCAUUGGAAAACACGAAAUAUAUUGUCGACAAACCAACGUCAUGAGGGUGUGAAAGAAGUGAGGUCAUAUAUGGGAAAUGUACAACGAAAUAGCGACGUGAAAGUGACUUUUUUGGGGUCGUUUCGUUUUCUUCGUUGGGAAUUAAAGAGAUUUUAAUUUUUUUUCAUCACCUUUAUAUUCUUUUCUCAUUUGCCAAGACUUAGACGAGUGAACUUGUUAUUAUGACAAAUUAAAAGCCAGUAACUUUUUUCAGCCGACGUCCAUUUCUCUCUUGGUAAAUUUAAUUCGGACUAAGGCCCUUUGUCCAUAAAAUUUUACAAAGUUUUUAAAAAUUGUUUGAAAAUAAGCUUUUUAAUAAAUAAAAAGUGGUUUUGAUCAUUUUGUCAAAACUUUCGAAAUAAAAUUUUCCCAAUCAUAAACCUGCAAUAUUUUUUGUAAUAAAGUACAUGUCCAGAUAUAAUUUUAAAUACUAUUUUUCAACUUAACUCCAAAUACUAAUUUUUUCAAAAAUUAUACUUUUGUUGUCCAAACGCCUACUAAAACACAAUAUAACUCGUUAAAUAAAUAAUUACAAAAUAAUUCUUCUAGAAAAAUAUUUUCUUUGCCUUUUUUCGCUUCAAAGGUUUCACCAAAUUUACUUUAAUGAUACCAAACUAACUUUUUAUAUUUUCCAAAUUUAUAGUAUUUUAAAAAUAGUUUUAAUUUUUUUAUUAUUUUCUGGCUAUUUAUUACUUCCUCCAAUCACUUUUACUUGUCACAUUUUGACCUUUCACGUCCCUUAAGAAAUACUAAUAUAUAAAGUAUAUAAUUUACUAUGAUACCCAUAUUAGUUGAUGCUAUUGUAUUGGAUUUGAGAAGAUGAUUUGAAAUGAGUAAUAAAUUACUAUGAGAAAAAAAAGAAACAAAUUUAUUGUCUUCUCUUGAUAUGCAUAAAGUGCCAAGUAAAAAUAAAUAUUUAUUUUUAAUAUACAUACCAAGUAAAAAUGACCGAAUGGAGUAAUAUAUAAGCUACUAAAAUUUAAAAAUCACGGGGCUUACGUCAAAUUCCAUGAGGUUUAUGGUGCACUUUAUACUAGGUAAAAUGCCCCUCUUUUUAAAAGCUGAUCAAUAUUUAUUAAUGGAAAUCAACUAGAGCUAUUACUAUAAGCAUUUUGAUCUUGAUUUAAAUGAAAAAAUACAUAGUCGAAUCAAAUUAAUUGUCGAAAAAACAAAAAAUCAAAUUAAUCAAGUUGAAAUCAUAAAAAACAAUAAUCAAGUCAGGCCAAUUGCAUCCGUAUAUACUUCUGUCAUGACUCUAGAUAAAGGUAUAAUUUAAUUUGGACAAAGAAAGACAAAGUAUGGUAAUGCGGGUGACAAGAGUAAACAAUAAGAAAUUAGAAAGACUAAAAUAUUUGUGCGAAUUGCCUAAGAAAUUAAAAAAGUACAAAAUAGAGAAUAAGGGCAUCAAAGAUUUUCUUAGAAAAAAAUUAAAAGAGUGCUGGAGUUGGAGGGAAUAAUGCCAAAUAAGAAAAUUGAAAAUGCAAGUAUAUAUAUAUAUAUAUAUAUAUAUAUAUAUACAAGCAAAUGCAAGUACUCAUAUUAUUAUGGAAUUUAAUUUAUUUGACUUUUAUGAUUAUUUGGUUGAAUAGGAAAAAUAAAAGAUUUAGAAUUGCAGAAGGGAAAUUAAAUUCAAACAUUACAACUCCUUGUAAGUUUUCACCACAAAAGAAAUGCCUGACAAGUUCUUGUAUAACACCAAAAUGAAUACUAGGAUAGGGAAAGGAAAAAAGGGAAUCUUACAUAAAUAUCUCAAAAGUCUUAACUUAUCAGUCUCUAACCAUUAAUUAUAGAUUUGUUAUAAUUAGUCAAACACAUAUAAAAAUUAAAAACAUAAACAAAAUAAGGUUCUUUCUUUCAAGAAUCACACACAAAGAUCUCCUUCCCUAUUUUUAAGUGUAAAUUAGCAACAUUAAAUGCAAGUCGGAAAAAAAACUUUGGUGAUGAAAUAGCAAAUAAUAUAUAUAUAUAUAUAUAUNNNNNNNNNNNNNNNNNNNNNNNNNNNNNNNNNNNNNNNNNNNNNNNNNNNNNNNNNNNNNNNNNNNNNNNNNNNNNNNNNNNNNNNNNNNNNNNNNNNNNNNNNNNNNNNNNNNNNNNNNNNNNNNNNNNNNNNNNNNNNNNNNNNNNNNNNNNNNNNNNNNNUAUAUAUAUAAGACUCCAAAAAUCUAACCAAAAAAUGAAAACAUUUCCAAUGGAUAUGGUUGAGAUUCAUUGAAAACAUAUAGAUGAGUCAACAUAUCAAAUUUGAGGAAGAUUGGAGCUGAUUUGAACUGAUUGAGUAUCAAAUUUCGCACUUAAAAUUGAGUUCAAAAAUUCUUUUGCGACAUGUGUAUCAGACAUACAUCACACAUGUAUCCCACACGCAAAUAUACAAGGAUAUACAUGUGAUACACAUCAUACGACACAUGUUUGUUAGACAAGUGAUACACAAUGCGAUACACAUAUCAUUUUUUUCAUGUUCAUUUUCUAUUUCAAAUUUUCAAUCCAAAUUACCUCAAAACUCCACCAAAUCAUCCCAAAAUUGAGAUUCAAACUACUUAAGAUGUACUCAAUCUAUUAUAAUAAUAUCUACUAAAAAGAGAGCAAAAAUUUGACCUCUUUUGGCUACAAAGGGCUAAUUAGCUAGUAUUGAUGAUAUUCUAAAAUUGGCCAAUUUUUAUAAUAAACUACUUAUAAAUGAACAUAGCUGGUAUUUUUCCAAAAAAAAUUCACGCGUUGUGGCCACUUUUUGGUUUUCUAUUUGGUGUCCGGUACCUACAUUGACGUUCGAUUAAAUUAGAUAUCGUAUUGAGAAGUCCUAUAUUGGGGUGAAAAUAGCACAUGCUAACCGGUUUUCGAACUGAUAAUUGAAAAAUAGCCAGCACUUGUAAAGUCAUUGAAAAAUAGUUGUUAUUUUACUAAAACACGAGAAGUUCUAGCAUAAUAUGCUGGAUUAUGGAGCUCCUACGUAUAAACUUUCAGUAUAUUAUGUUGGAACUCCAACACAUUAUGAAAUUUCAGCAUAUUAUGCUGGGAUUGUUUCGGAUUUUUAAGGAUAUUUUUUAUCAGAGUUUAUCAUUACAUGAAAAACUUGUUAAACUUCGAUUAUUUUUAAAAUUGUGGCUAUUUUUUCAUUACCAGUUAUAAAUUUGGUUAUUUUUUAUAUUUGUUUCCCUAUAUUGAGGGAUGAAGCGCUCCUUAUAUUGUUGGUUUAGGUUGUGGCCAUGAAAGAGAAAGAGAACAAAAUAGAGAAACUUUCAGAAACCAUUUACUAUAUUACUUUAUAUGAUUAUAUUUUUAGGGUUUUUAGAGUGUAUACAGUGUAUUUAAGCUACUAUAUUCAUGAAUACAGUAAUAUUUCUAGUCAUGAAACAUGGGAUUACAGCUAGACAAAAUUUUAUAUUCGAGUGUAUUCGACUGUAUAUAUGGCGUAAAAUAUGGGAUUACAACUGGACAAAUUAUUGUAUUAGGCCGUAUUCAUGGUGUGAAACGGGGCAUUACACUAUUUUUAUAAGGAAAGUGAAUCAAUUAACAUAAUAGACUUCUAAUAUAACUCAACAAACUCAAUUAUAAUACACAAAUUUUGUAUUUUCAGUUAUAAAAAAGAUUCUCAACCGAAAAACACCCAAAGAAUAUUGCAAUCUUCAGAGAAAUUACAUAAUACAUCUGAAUUAUAAAUUAUAUCAAUUAAAAAACAUAUGAAUACAUUCAUAGAAUAUAGUGACAUAGUGAAUACAAUGAAAUACACAUAAUAUAUCGGGAUACAUUGAAAUAUAAUGUAAAAAAAAUAAUGAAUACAAUAAAAUACAUAGAAUACAACGAUACAUUAAAAUAUAAUGAAAAAAAGACGAUGGGUACAAUGAAAUACAUGGAGAUACAUUGAAAUUUAUUAACAGAAAAUUCAAAUUGUGCAGCCCAACUCCGCCGUCUUUGUCCAAGAAUAACCCUAAUAUUGUCUCGUUGAAGCAACAUCAGUAUCCAUUCCUCGCUUUCCGACACUAUUGCCCCUGGUUGCCGAUAAUUAGUACGUAAUUACCGCGAAAUAACAGAGGUUUUUGUUGAUCCUAUAUGCUGCGUCAGAGAAUGAGAUUGGGAGGCUGAGGGUGGCGAUAUUAAUGAAUAACGACCACGAUCGAACGAUGACGGUGGCAACUGCUCCAGCGUCCACCAGAGGAGAACACAUCGUGAAGGAGAGAGAGAGAGAGAGAGAGAGAGAGAGAGAGAGAGAGAGAGAGAGAGAGAGAGAGAGUAGAUAUGGGGCAGGGGGUAGGAGAAGUUUGAGGGGAUAUGAGAGAGAAAUAAUACAAAUCUUAUUUUAUGGCUUAAUGUUUGGAGGUAUUAUAAAUAGAUAUUUGAUUAUCAAAAAUUAAGAAGUAGCUAUGAAGUAUAAUUUUUUAAAAAUAUUUAUUUAAAAUAAAUAAAGUAACAACCUUCGCUAUAGGAAAUAACUGAAUCUGUUGGGAGCAGCAUAUAAAACUCUUGAACUUUAACACAAAUUUAUGUCAACAACUUAAAUUUCUUGAGACAUUACCUUUAGACUAGAUUCAGAAAUAUGCAUGAGUACCAUUCUCAAAACUAAUUAACUGGCCGAAGGUCAUGCCAAUAAGUUGAGCUGAAAAGAGCAAGAAAAAGGAAAAGAGCUCUGUUUGGUAUAAAAAAAAAAAAUUUUCCGUCAAAAAUAUUUUUUUUAAAAAUAUUUUCUUGAAAAAUAACUAGUAGUUUUAUUUAUUUUUCGGUAUUUGGUACACAAAUUAAAGAAAAUAACUUUUCAAAAGUAUUCAUAAAUAAUUUAGAUACAAUAAAUAUAAGUCAUAGAUUUUCGAACCAACAACCUUUUGAACUCACCAAUUUCAUAAACUUUCGAAUGACUAAAUUUUGGAAACUGCGAACUUUCAAACCUUUAAACUUUAUAAUUUCUAAAUGCGUAAACUUUCAAACACAUAAACCUCCAAACUCAUAAAUUUGGAACUUAUAAAAUUUUGAACAUGUAAACCAAAAGAUGAAAAAACUAAAACUGAAAUUAUAUUUUAAAGAAAAGAAUCCGGGGAGGGGNNNNNNNNNNNNNNNNNNNNNNNNNNNNNNNNNNNNNNNNNNNNNNNNNNNNNNNNNNNNNNNNNNNNNNNNNNNNNNNNNNNNNNNNNNNNNNNNNNNNNNNNNNNNNNNNNNNNNNNNNNNNNNNNNNNNNNNNNNNNNNNNNNNNNNNNNNNNNNNNNNNNNNNNNNNNNNNNNNNNNNNNNNNNNNNNNNNNNNNNNNNNNNNNNNNNNNNNNNNNNNNNNNNNNNNNNNNNNNNNNNNNNNNNNNNNNNNNNNNNNNNNNNNNNNNNNNGGGGGGAGUAGCGAGGUGGGUGGUGAUGGGAAAAAAACUUUUUCAGGGAGAGGGGGUGGCUGGGUAGGGAUUGGGUAGGUUCGAUCGAACCCGCACCUAAUUUGCUAGCUCCAAACAUGAAUCACCUAUGAUUACUGAAUUGUAUCUUAUUUUUUGUCAAUAUCUCCUAUAUAUACAAUAAAAAAAUUAACCUUAAAAUCAAGUGUCAUGUGGAAGCUAGCAAAUCAACCUUGAGCAACGAUAAAUCGUACAAUAAAGAGAAAUAUACCAAAAGAAACACAAAUAUAUAACGUGGUUUGAUCAACUGACCUACAUCGACGGUGGAGAUGAGCAAUCCCCUAUAAUAAAAGAGGAUACAAAUAUCGAGAGAACAACCUCACGAAGAGGUAAACACAAGUGAAACGCUAACACUUGUCCCGUAGAGAUCUCCCCCUAAGCACGACUCUCAAGCCCCCAUAUGACUACAUUGUGAAUGCUACUCAAUGAGAAAGAUGGAUCUUCAAUUUAUAGAGCCCUAAACAGUUUCCUACAAGAAAAGAAACUAGCCAAAUAUGAAAUAAUUAUAUUUUCUUUCUAGAAAAAAAAUUCAACUAUAAUAAAUAUGUUAUCAUUUCCUUCGUGAGAUAGGAAAUUCGAAUAAACCCCUUUCGUCCCUGCUCGGUCCCAGCGAGCCCAAAUGCAAAGGUCUCGAAUGAGAACCAAAACUUGAUUAAUUCGAACCAAAACUUGAUUAAUUCGAACCUAAACCAACAGCAGCUGGGGCUUAGCUGCAGCAAUUCAAGGAAAAGUAGAACAAUGUCCUCAUAGAAGACAUUCCGUUGCACUACAACAUUAUACAUAUACAGCUACAAAGUGCAUACAUUUGUUCAAAGAAGUAUAUCAUUUCACUCCAUACCUAAAUAAUGAUCAACACUUAUUCAAAACAUACUGAAGUACAAUAAACUUGUGGAGUACUUAAAUUAUAUCACAUUUACAACUUGAUAUGGUGAUCAACAUGUUCUCUAAGUAAACUUCUAUCUUAGUGCAGUUCCUAGCACUAUGGACAUCGAAUAAUCUUAGUGGAAAAGGUGACAUACACAGCCAACAGAACAAUAGAAACGGAUAAAACCUGGUGUAAGAACUUCAAGGAUUUAUGAAACCUUCUACCCUAAUAUUAUCCUUCCGCGAUAGAAACUUCAUGCAAAUAGGAGGAUUCACGCCUGCCAAAGCUAGUAUCGAACUUGGCAAGGUCCAGAUUCCAUCACCACAAAUUAGUCCAGAUGCAACGGCAGGUCCAAAUGCAUCAGCCUUAACCUUGUCUAUCUUUGUCCAGAUGAACAAGAUCAGGCUCCCGAGACACAUAUCAAUAGCAAAGUAGGAUCCAAGAUAGAACGGUAUGGCCAUUGCCAUUGGAAGAGGAAUAUACUUCGCCUUGUUCUUUCCUACAGCGUCCCUUAAGGCGUUGAUGGCAAUAGCUCCAAGGAAGAAUACGUAACAAAGGGUGAGACAGUUUUUAGGUAGAGCUGAGAAACCUUCGACUCCCAAGAUAGACAUGUUACGGUAGACAAGAGCAUAAGGGGCAGGAUAUUCCGAACCUGGAACGCCUAAGUCGUGGAACGCCUUGUAGAAGAGCCAAAAUACACAAGGAGAGAUGACGCAGCCCAUUGCUGUUCCGAUUAUCUGGCUUAUGAACAUGGACCGAGGAGAAGCCAAUGUCAUGUAUCCAGUUUUGAAGUCCUGUGUUAGGUCGGAUGCAGUGGAGACGAUGUUCAUCAUCACACCACAAGCAGCUAAUCCUGCUAGAACCCCACCAUGAGCGGCCCCGGCCCAUGCUCCAAUUGUGAAAAUGGCCAGCUUUCCGUACGUAGAUGCCAAUGACCAGUCGGUGAGACCACAGCCAUAAGCAUUGCAGAAGGCUAGUAUUGGUGCAAAAAUAUAAAUUACCACGAUAUAGUACCAUUUAAGUUGAUGGAAAAUAUGCGGAAGUGUUACAGUGGAGACGAUGGCAAUGCUAACGUAACCAGCUAUUGCGACCCACAUUGGGAUUUGAUCCUUGAGGAAAAGCUCGGUUCGUAUCUGAUCAUCAUAAGAUAAAGAAGGCUCUGUAGGAGAUCCACGGGCACCAACAGGAAGGACGGACACUGCUCUUUUCUCACGGAUUUGGAAAUAUAUACCAUAUAAUGUUCGUCCAAGUACUUUGCAGAAGUUGUAGAGACCAUCACCAAGGAUCAUGGCGAUUGCUAUGAAGACCUGCAAUACAAGAUCAUUAUGGAAACCCAAUAAGCCUCAUUUCAGUUUUAUAAAAGAAUCAAGAUUGUAGACUCAUAUUCAUUGUUCUUCUCCAAAAGAGAUGGAGAAAAGGGGAGAAUACCCUGUAACCUUGUAUGCCAUGAAGGCUGCUGGCGCUUUGAUUAGCAGGGUACCAAUGACCUUUUCUGUCUUGAAUAAGAGGCCACAUUAUACCCCAUGAAAGGAUAGCUCCAACUAGCAAAGAUAUGUUUAUCAGAUAAGGACAUAUCAUCCCAACACCAACAUAUGUUGCCGAGAAGUCAAAGUAAAACCUGGUCGAUUGGAGAAAUAAGUCGAAAGAUUAAAAUGAUAAACAGGUAAAAGUUAGCUAUACGAGUUGAGAUGUCCUACUGAGAGAACAAAUAAAUAUUACCUGUUCUCGUAGGCUUUGAGGCCGAAUGUGGGAAAAUUCACAAAACCGCAGCCAUCUCCUGCUGUGAAAAACCACUGGAAGAAACCCCAUAAGAAGCUAAAACUGAAAAACUUUCCCAGAGCUUUUACUUGUUUCCUGCAGUUAGCAUUAAGGAAAAAAAAAGAAUUAGUACUUUCAUUUAUAAGUAACGCUCGUCCAUAUACAAAAGACUCACUUGGCUAGCUUAGCUCCUUGCGGCGUAUGGAAACUGUUGAUCAGGUGAGCAGUUGCAGUUCCACUUGGAUAAAUCAGUUUGAAGUCUAUGAUCAUAAUCUGAAACAUAUAUACAUGCAUUAUCUCAAUACCGCAAUUUAUAUUUUAUCUGAACAAAGAAUUAUAACUGCAUCAAUUGUGAGCCAUUCAUUCCAAAACUACUAUGGUACAUCUCCAACUUUUGAAUCUUUUCUCUACCUCUCAAAAAAAAAAAAAAAAACGGAUGAAAAUCAUAUCUUAUGAAAAGGAAAAAGGUCAAAAUUUUCCCUGUACUACACAAAAUUUCCUCACUUUGUCCUCUAUUACGAUUUAAGUCUGUUCAUAUCCUUGUCGACAACAAACCAAAAGGCAGCCCCGGUGCACAAGACAUCCCGCAUUACGCAGGGCUGGGGGAAGGGCAAGACUUUAAGGGGUGAGCUGUAGACAACCUACUCUAAUACAAGUAUUAACGGAUCUUUCAAGGUUUGAACCUGAUCUAUAUGGGCAACAACAACAAACAACAAACCAGUAAAAUUAGUGGAGUCGGGGAGGAUAGGAUGUACGCCUCACCCCUACCUGGAGAAGGUAGAGAGGCUGUUUCCAAAAAGCCAUCGGCUCAGGAUGACCUAAAGGGGCAAGUGUCUCGUACUAUAGGUGCAAAUUUGAACCUUUACCCCUUAUAAAAGUUUGAACAAAGUAUUGACUAUAGCUUAUAGAAGUUCCAUUGUGCUGGAAAACAUGAUAGUAUAACAUAUGAAUUAGAGAUGUUGUGAGUUAAGAAUGUACCUUACGAAGAGGAACAACUGAGAAAAGUCCAAGAAAGCUAACAACAAAAAGGAAACAAAUCAUCCAUCCCAAAGAAGGGUUCUUGAUAUUCUCUGCAGCAUUAUCUUCAUUUGACUGUUUAGCAAUAACUUCACUCAUGCCAAAAAGAUAGCUUCCAAAACCUCCUGCUCAUCAAAAAGUAAUAUGUAAAUAAACCAAAUAUGAGCUAUUGCAUUUUGAGCUGCUUUUAGCACCUUAAAAAGAACCGGAAGAGAAGAUGUUAAUUUCUCGUGUGGUUUAACGUGGUGUGAUAUUGUCCGUAUUAGGGCAAGCGCACACUCCUCACACCAUUAAGAGUACCCAAUGGUGUGAGGUUGGGUGCGGACCUUCCCUGGCGCUAGCUUGAAUGCAUGAUGCUUUAUGCAGCGGACUAGCUUUUUUUUUUUUACUUUCCAUAUGGAGCUUUGGACACGCACCCAACAAAUUCACCUGUAAAUAUCUACUGCUCAUAUUUCAAAUCAGUGGGAGCAAUCUUCUUUUCCAUCUUAUUGUUUGGACUGUUAAUUAUUUUUAAAUUCAUCAGCUAAUUAAUAGGAAAAUGCCUGAUAAGAUUUCCAAAACUUGUAGAGAUCAUAGCCCAGGUUCCAGUAACAAACAAUUUAAGAAACAUUACAGAAGGCAUAAAAUUGUCAUAUAAUUCUUUACAUUUUUUUUAGCAAUUUCUCCAAUUUUAGCAACCAUUAUUUCACUUGAAAUACACUUCAAACAAGUCUUUAAAAUUUCACAAGUAUUGAAGUUCAGUGGUGGACGUAGCACAACAACUACUUCGAGUUUAACUAUAGAUAAUUAAAUGAUUAUAAGUUUCUUUAUGUGUUUGUAUUAAAACUUUCGACAUGUUGUUAUGCACUAGUAAUGGAUUAUAACUUAUGAUUAAGAUCCUUAAUCUGGAUCUGGCCAUGUUAGUAGUCAGAACAGAAGGGUUAUUUUUUUCCAAUAUAUGCAGUUCUUCUGGAUAUACAAUAUCUCGGAUAUAGCACAUCGGAAAAAACUUUUAUCUCUAUUAUAAGGUAUAUAUUACUCUUCUCGGAUCUUGGAAUAUACUGGUUAUCAGCAUAUAAAACUACCCUUUCCAAACCUCACACUGUGAGAAUAUAUUGGAUGUCUGUCUAUACGUUAUCCUCAACACGCUCCAUACUAUGAGAAUAUACUGGACGUUUGCAUAUAUAUUAUCUUUCCCGUACCCCACACUAUGAGAAUAUCAUGGUGGUUUGCGUAUACAGUACCCUCCCCAAACCUCACACUAUAAAAAUAUAAUGGACGUUUACAUAUAUAUUAUUUUUUCCGAACCGUACAUAUUAAAAUAUAGUGAGUAUGUUGUUGUUAUUGUAUACUGUAUCACGGAUAUAAUUGUGCAAAAUGAUGAUCAACAUUAUUAGGUUGACCCACCACUUGCGGGGAUGAUGAUAACAAAGACUUAAAAUAAUGUGUAUAGCAAAUUUCCAGCUUGCGAAAGUGGUAAUCAGAUUAUUCCAACAAGUCAAGUAAAUAACACUCCUGUUGCUGCAAAGACUUUUAAAUUAGUCAAUAAUUUACACUAUUGACUAAACUCAUUAAUUAUUAAUUUACAGAAUCCAAGAAUAUACUAAUUCACCAACCUGAAUUAUUUUUUUAAAACUAUUCUACACAGAAAUUGAUAACAAAGUUUAAAUCACAAGUCAUCUUAGAAAGGGACUUACAAGUGCAAAAUAUUGAAUCGGUGAUAUUUCUAUACACUAUGGACUCCACAAAACUACAACAAAGCAAGAAGCCUAAAGAGAAAUAAACAAAUAUCCCGUGGACCAAAUUAUAAUGACAUAGUAUAUAGUCCAACAUUACAGCACACAUUAAUGGCGAUAUCACUUUGUUUCUUUCUUCAUUUAAUUGCAAAAUGAAAUAAACAUAUGCUUUGACAAAAAAUACAAUUCAAGCUUUUGUUUUCCAACCCCACCUUUAUGGAAAGUGAUUUUCACAUUAAGUAAAAACGUACUCAUCGACUAAACAAAACUCUUUUUGUGAAGUCAAACUUAAAUUGAAUUCUCUUUUAUAAUUAAUUUAAUCACUUAAAAGAUAAAUAACGGGAUUCGUCAAAGUAAAAUUAGUAACGUAAACAAAAGACAGAUUAUUUGCUACUAUUAAAAUUUUACUAGACCCUUCACUCAAGUAACAAUGCUUAUAGGAAGGAAAAAAAAAAAUUACAUCCAUAUAUUAUAUCAUACAGGUCCAACUUGGUUAUCAUAAGAAAAUAUUAAAAAAAAUUAAUAUAUGUAGAUGAAUAUAACUAAAAGUUUAAUUAUUUAUAUACUGUAAUAAAACAAUAACAGCCCGGCAAAAUUUCAUUAAUAGAAUUUGAGGAGAAUAAUAUAUAGAUGAACCUUAUUCAUUUUAUACACUAAUAAUAGUAGUACUAUAUUAGUCACUUGAAAAAAUAAUUACAAUUAGCAACUCGACAAAUAAGAUGGUUAAGCUACACUGACAAUAUUAUUACACUACCAGUUAAAUCUCGUAAAAGUUACGAAAACAUCAAUAACAACAAAUUUAGUAUGCUUUUAUGAGUGGGGUUUAGAGAGGUGAGUAUAUGCACAACUUUAUUUUUUCUUACGAAGCUAAAAAGGUUGUUUUUAAUAAAUAAUCCGUUAAAAAAACAAAAUCUUAUAAAAGUUAAUCAUGUUUAAUUUGCAUAAUUUUUUGAGUAGGAUAUAAAGACCGGAUGAAAUCAAACUAAAGAAUUACUUACCACUAAAUGCUAUGCCAGAAGUUGCAACAACACAAGUCUGAAUAACUGUAUUUUCUUGACGAGUAAAUGGCUGUUUUAGCCAACCAGAUUUCUCAAGAAACUUAGUCCAAGUUUUGACAAAGAAGAAUCCCAAAAGACCAGCAGAAACAUUAAGAGAAGGGAUAAUUCCAGUAGUAAGAUUUAACUUCAUAACAAUGAAAGUGAAUAGAACUCCCAAUACAAAGCUCACAAAAAAUGCUCUGAAUGUUAAUUGACUUUGCCAUGUUGGAACUUCUUUUGACUCAAAAAUUCUUUCUACAGAUAGUGUAGAUUCUUCUUCUUGUUCUGAUUCUAAAUGGGAUUCAUUGGUUUUUUUGGCAAGAAAAUCAACUUGAGAAUUUGUUGAGUAUUCAUUAGAAGAAUAUGGUUCUCUCCUAUUAUUACUGUUGGAUCUAUCCAUGGUUUUUGUGGUGUAUACAAAAAGUAUACUCUUUUUUUGUGGGGUUGUUUAAUUUGCUUUGUUUUCUUGAAAUGAGGAUUGGUAUUUAUUGAAUUGAAGAAGAAAGGUGAACAAAAAUGCGUGCUGCUAAGUGGGUCACACUAUAUUGUAUACUAUAAGAUUUUUUCAUAUCCAAAUAAAUGGAAAUGGUUGUCCUUAUAAGGUGGAGGGUGCGUGGAAUUGGUGAGGCGUGAGGGGNNNNNNNNNNNNNNNNNNNNNNNNNNNNNNNNNNNNNNNNNNNNNNNNNNNNNNNNNNNNNNNNNNNNNNNNNNNNNNNNNNNNNNNNNNNNNNNNNNNNNNNNNNNNNNNNNNNNNNNNNNNNNNNNNNNNNNNNNNNNNNNNNNNNNNNNNNNNNNNNNNNNNNNNNNNNNNNNNNNNNNNNNNNNNNNNNNNNNNNNNNNNNNNNNNNNNNNNNNNNNNNNNNNNNNNNNNNNNNNNNNNNNNNNNNNNNNNNNNNNNNNNNNNNNNNNNNNNNNNNNNNNNNNNNNNNNNNNNNNNNNNNNNNNNNNNNNNNNNNNNNNNNNNNNNNNNNNNNNNNNNNNNNNNNNNNNNNGGGGUGAAUAUAACCAUCAUAUGGCAUUACUGUAAUCGUUUUAUAUGAAAUAUUGAAUUGAACGCUUUCUUGAUAGAGAUGUAGAUGGUUUUGUUUUCAUCGUUUCAAUUUACGUGACACUAUUAUUAUUGAUGGGAUAAAAAAAAUUUCAUUACUUUUUAAAAUAUUUAAUCUAUUAAUUAUUAUAAUUUAUAACAAUUUUUAUAAUAUAAUUUUAAAUAUAUAAAGCUUAUUUCAAAACACUCAUAAAUCGCAAAUCAAGUUGACAUUAAAAAUUACUCCCUGCGUCCCAUUAUAUGAGAUGGGAUAUGGAAUACGAGGUCAAACUAUUUAACUUAAGUGUAAAUUCUGACAUAAUAUCUCUAAAUUUUUGAAAUAAAAUUUAAGUAUUUGAAAUUAUAUAAAAAUUAUAAGUCAUAAUAAUUAAUAAUUUGAAAUAUUCAAAAGACAUGUAAGAAAAUCACAUUCAAAGAAAAGUCUCUUGACUCUCCAAAGCGUAAUCGUGUGGACAGAGCGAAUAAGUAAUUUACCUCUUAUAGCAUGUGUUUAGGAGGCAAGGUGGGUAAGGUCGAGGGCGAGGGAUGCGGACGGAUAUAGACUUUGGUACUCAGCAUUCCAGAAGGGUAAGAAUGGAGCGGAAAUCUUGGUGAAUAGAGAAUUUAGAGAGUCUGUGGUUGAAAUUAGACUAGUGAAUGAUAUAUUGAUGAUUAUUAAGUUGGUGGUUGGAGAGCUCAUCCUAAACUUUAUUAGCGCCUAUUCGCUGCAUGUGAGCCUAGAUAAGGAGGUUAAACUGCGCUUCUGGGAUGGGUUAGAUGAGGUUUCGCGCUAGGUUCCGCCUACUGAGAAAUUCAUAGGAGGAGAUUUCAAUGGUCAUACUGGGUCGACCACCGGUGGUUAUAGUGAGGGGUAUGGAGGCUUCAAUUUUAGGGAGAAGAAUGGAUGAGGUACCUCGUUGUUGGACUUCGCUAAGGCUUUUAGGUUGGUGAUUAAGAACUCUAGCCUUCCGAAGAGGGAAGAACAUUUGGUUACUUUUCAAAAUGCAGUGGCGAAGAUUCAGAUUGAUUAUCUCCUCUUCAUAAGAUGUGGCAGAGGGUUAUUUCUUUUAAAAGAAGAUUAGAGGACGAAAGAAGAAGCUCUUACAUCGGAUAAAGCCUAAUUCCACUGUCCUUUGAAGAUUAGAAGAUAGUGAAGGCCGAUUUCCUUUUUAAAGAUCACUCAACGAUGUGGCAAAUCCCCUUUUUUAAGUCUAUGAAUUGGAAGCAGGAAAGACUCUUCUUGAAAGCGAGUUCAGUGGCUCUCUGGUGAGGGGCACGAACGGUAUAACAUAGUUGCCACGAAGACACUUUUUUUUUUCUCUUUCUGUUUUUGAGGUCUGAUCCGAAGGUAAACUCUAGACACAUCGCACAUGCGAUUGACGGCUUUUGGAUCGAAGGAGAAGCUAGGGUUCAAAAGGGCCAAUGAAACUGCUAGUGGACUGACUUUCUAGGCCUUCUCUCUUGCAAAUGAACUAAAGGCUAGGCGCCUCAGGGAAAUGUAUAGUGCUGCGGGAGUCCGUUCACCUUGAAGUGGAACUGUUGUGGCGGGGAAUGUCACUAGUUGUGAUGCUUGCUGCUCUGGUUCCCUUUCGCCCCUCUUACAACACAAGAAAGAAGGUGAGAGUAAGCACGACUUUCUUCUUCUCUUAACUAUAUCCUAGUUAAGAGAAGAAGAAAGUCUAGCCGGAAUAAGGCCUAAGGGGAAGUACGUAAUACAGAUCACAUGGUCUUUUACUGAUCCUCUUUCGAGCUGUCGAGUGACAAUUGGCCGAGGGGCCCUUUUUUCUUUUAUAAGGGAAGAGAUUGUAGCUGGGUACAAAUAGGCCGGGACGAGUAGGCAAGCACGCGGGUUGUACCGGUCAGCUUUGAGCUGUCGAGUGACGAUUGCUCCAUCUCUUAAGAAAGGACGCGGGGGGCCUGUCUUAUAAUAAAGGGGGUACUCUAGACGAGUAGGCAAGCAGGCGGGUUGUACCGGUCAGCUUUGAGCUGUCGAGUGACGAUUGCUCCAUCUCUUAAGGAAGGAUGCGGGGAGCCUGUCUUAUAAUAAAGGGGGUACUCUCUUCUCUGAUGUGCGCUAUAUUAUUGUGGCCUAUUCCUUAAGGAGUGAUCCGGGAUUAAGCCACGUGGCGAUACCCGCCAAAAGAAAGGGGGCCUUUCGUACGGAUUGGAGUACGAAGAUAAUUAUUCAGCACACUAAAAUCUAGUGGAUGGGGUUCCAUAUUCAUGAAAAGCCGGGGUUGAAACAUGUUAUGAAACUAAGACAACAAUUAUUUCUAAUUGGAUUGGAGUACGAUGAUAAUUAUUCGGCGCACUAAAAUCUAGUAGAUGGGGUUCCAUAUUCAUGACUUUCAUACUUCUGACGUCGACUCAUCUUGCUUGGAAGUCUUAUGAAUGCAGCAAAAACUAAGGGUUCCUCUACAGUCAAUUGUGGAAAAAGCACAUCAUCUUGUGUCACGAAACCCACCUAGCACACCAUUGCUCAAUUCGGUAUGGAAGUUAAUACAAAAUCAUGUACAUUGAAAGAAAGACUUUUCUAUAUUCUUGGUUUGCUUUGGGCCCAGGAAAAGAAGGGAAUGAGCUCGGCUGCUUCUCCUCAACACUUUUUUUUCUCCGUGCCCGUUCCGCAUGCGCUUCGCGCGCCAUUGGCUCUUUGCUCUCCUCUUAUUCUUCAUUGGACGGUUCGGAUGGACUUCGCCGUUCUUUCCCAACAAAAAUCGAAAGGGCUGUAUCACAUCGAGAUGUCGAUUAGACGGUUUGGAUGGACUUCGCCGUUCUUUCCCAACAAAAAUCGAAAGGGUUGUAUCACAUCGAGAUGUCGAUUCGUUCCCUAUUUAUACUUUUGGGCCCUUCAUCUUUCUGAAUUGAGACCCGGCCCGGCUCGCGUCCUUCCAACAACCAGCGGGGAGCACCUCAGUAUAUGAUAUUGCGCAGUAACUGGGAGUCCUAUUACACCUAAGGCCAACUUCAAUUCACCAAACCAAGGUUCAUCUCGUGUAGUCAUUGUGGACUCGUACAAGGAUAUUGAGUAGACGGUUGAUGUAUCAGACUCGACCCUAUCUUUCGUAGCAUGCAUUCCCAUCCGUGUCGCAACUGAUUCGGUAAGCUACGUGUCCGGUGCACGAAUUCAUUGUGGACUCGUACAAGGACCCUUUAGAGAUAGGGGCGAGCAAAAGAGCUCGUUCUUCCAUUUUGAGAUCUUUAGAUUCGUAUGAUCAUAAUAGAGUCCCUUUACUUUCUAUUAUAUUAGUCAAGAGCUAGCGCCCUACAACUACUAUAGUAUAGCAGAGCAGCCAGCUUCAAAGCUUACCCGAUUCUAAAAAGAAGUAUUAUUAUAAAAGAGAAAGGUUAGGGGGCUGAGAAACUCUUGCUUGCUGCUUGCUGUCUACUUUGCGAGCCUUCACUUCCCUGUUCUGUAACUUCCUUUUUUUCGUCCGUCCACAACUCUGUAAUAAGAGAGAAAGGGGCGGCUAUCUAGCGGGAGUCGUUUCGGUUGUAUGCCACGAGGUCCCUAUGGACAAGGGGACAAGUGAAUCAUCGCUUUUGGGCGCAGGCAGCCCUCUACCAUCUAUCCCAUUGCAUUCCAUCGUCUCGUAUUGUACUGUGCCGUAUCAGACCAGAUAGAUCUAUUGAGUGAGAGAAAGGGAGAAAACUCUAAUUAGAUAUUCUUUUUAUAUUGAUAGGGAUCCCCAUUCAUUCCUAGAUUCCCGUCACUACGGACUGAUUGUCCCUACCUAACUACAUGGUAGUGGUCUAGGGAGCGCAAUUGCUAGAGCACGGGAGAAUUAAGAGUAAUGAUUUCAGCAAGAGCAGCA